RNAcentral lists this long non-coding RNA (55048 nucleotides) under Solanum tuberosum (potato). RNAcentral's name for it is "long non-coding RNA (STUB_LNC011077)". Lineage: Eukaryota; Viridiplantae; Streptophyta; Magnoliopsida; Solanales; Solanaceae. The record is from RNAcentral.
ACUUCAACCAACGUGAUAAUUCAAACGUGUAUUUGACCAUUAUCUCAAUUCCUUUCGUUAGUCUAGUACGUGACUAACUUUGAUAAGCUUCAAUUAAGGCCUUAAUUGGGUGUGACGGAGUCAAUUCUGUGGUGGCAAACUGGCUUGGGCUUCAGAAACCUGUCUAUUCUGGGCGCUCUGCAAUUAGAGGCUUUGUUGAGUAUCCGGAAAAACAUGGUUAUCAGCCUAAGUUCCACGCGUAUUUUGGAGGUGGAGUUCGGUUUGGAUUUCUUCCUAGUGAUGAGAAGAGUUUGUACUGGUUUUGCACAUUCACACCAUCUGUUGUUCAUUGUAAGCCACCUCCUACAUACUGUUUCUUUUGAAGAUUUACUUUUUGAAGGAUAUUUUUGUUGGCUAGAGAGCUUACCUCUAUGAAGGGGGAGCCUUGACGUAAUUGGUAAAGUUACUGUCAUGUGACCUAGAGGUCGCGGAUUCGAGCUGUGGAAACAGCCUCUUGCAGAAAUGCAGGGUAAGACUGCGUACAAUAGACCCCUGUGGUCCAAGCCUUCCCCAAACCCUGUGCAUAGCGGGAGCUUAGUGCACCGAGCUGCCCAGAUAGCUUACAUUUCAUAAACUAGUCAUGUUUAGUUGUUCAUUUUAAUUGGGAUUUUAUGCAGUUGAUGGAAAUGCAGAACAAGAUCCAAUGAAAUUGAAGCAAUUCGUGUUGAACAAGGCUAGUAAUGUGUCUAAAGAACUCUCCACCAUUAUAGACAGAACUACGCUCGACUGUAUAUCUAUCGCUCAGCUGAAAUUGAGGUUGCCAUGGAAUGUUCUGCUUGGGAAUAUUUUGAAAAAUAACGUUUGCGUGGUAGGUGAUGCACUUCAUCCCAUGACUCCUGAUCUUGGUCAAGGUGGAUGUUCUGCUUUAGAGGACAGCGUUGUUAUUGCAAAGUGCCUCGGAGAAGCCUUGAUAAAACCGAUAACAGAACAAGAAGACGAUGAAUCUACGAAGAUUAGAAAAGGACUUGAGAAGUAUGCUAAAGAGAGGAGAUGGAGAAGUUUUACAUUUAUCAGUGCUGCUUAUUUAUCUGGUUUCAUACAAGAGAGUGAUAACAAGAUAAUCAGUUUCUUAAGACAACAUUUUUUGGCUGGAGUUACUAUAUCAGUUACACUAAGAAUAGCUAACUUCGACUGCGGAAGAUUAACUGUUUCUUAGUAGCUCAAUUGGAUCUUUUAGAAGCUAUGAAUACCCUUUAUGGACUUUGUUUAGUAUCUAUCUAGCAUACAUGUUCUGGUUUAGCUGUGUUUAAGAAUUGUAAUACCGAAACGGAUCCUUAUUUUGCAAUAAUAAAAUACAAGUUGUGAGCAACCAAUUGUGUCCUUCAUCAAAGAUAUCCAACAACAUCAGUUGUUUAGAAGUAUUGAACAAGUGUUUUCUUAUCUGAGAUCAUUUCGUGCAAUUAGAUACUACUCCCUAUGUUUCAACGACUUGAUACGAAGUUUAACAAAGUAAAUAAGACUUUUGUACCAUGGACCGCUACUUGGUUCAAUGACUUCCAAUUUCCACAAGGGAUCAUUGUUUUGUUACAUACUCUUGAGUAGAUGUAGGAGGAAAUGCAGGAGUCAAAUCAUGUCUUUAAUUGUUUUUUUUUGUUUUUUUUUGGAUUUCUCACUUGACUUGUCAGGCAAUAGUAUCUCUCAUUGGAAAUUUGUUACAAGUUCUGCAGCAAAAUUUUCUACCGUUUGUCUUACAUAAUGGGAUCAAUUCACAUUGUCUUAGGUGACACACACGGCAGAGAUAGUCGAUGACCUCGAAAUGAAAAUAACAUUUAGAUGGGGUACAAGCACCCCCAUUCUUUUGUUUGUUUUUUCUCUCUAUUAGACUACUUUACUUUGAUUUUAUAUCAAUUUAUGAAUGUCGUAAGUAUGUAUUUUUAAUUGAAAUUUGCUAGUAACUAAACCUUAAAAUUUAUAGUUAUUAGCGUGAAAGGAAUUAAAUUUAACAUUAAAAUACGACCCUCAAUUGAUGUUUCUGGUCAUAGUACUGUUAAAAAAUUACUUAUGAUUGUUACAUUUUAUUAUUCAUUAUAGGCUUAUUUUCACAGAAAUUACACAAGUGUAACUCAUAAACUAGUAUAUAUAUAUAUAUAUAUAUUACUAAAAGUGGGAAGAAUCUAAAGCAAAAAUUAGAUUGCGAAAAUACCCUUAAGUAUUAAUUUAUUUUCUUAAAAAUCUAUUUUUAAAAAUAGUCUUUUUAUUUAUUUAUUUUUAAUAUUUUAUAAAAAAUGAAUGUGUCAAUUACUACUCAUUUAUAUAUUUAUAUUCUGUAAUAUAAACAUUUAUUUGCCUUUAUUUCAAUUAUUCACAUGAAUUUUGAUUAUUAUAACUCCUAUAUUAUAUUAAUAGUCAUGUUCAUAAUAUCAUUUGAUAUUCCAUAUUAUUGUCCUAUAAAUAGAGAUAUUAUAAAGGUGCAAGUAUUACACAAUUUAGUUUGACUUUGCUACUUCUCCACCAUUGGUUAUGAGGGUGACACAUAUUCCCAACUUGUGAAUCAUUUAUGUCUUGAAAUAUGUACCAUUCAAUUGCUCAUUUGAAUUUGAACAAAUAAUUUUAUAAAACAGAGUAACUUUAGCUAAAUAAUUAUAAUGGAUAAAUGAAUAGAGUGUUUGAUAAAUAUGAUAGUAUUUAUGCGUUGCACGUUUAUUUCUAUUUUUUAUUAUAAAGUUUGUAAAAUAAAAUAGUAAAUAAAAAAAAAAGCACUUAAAAAGCUACACAACUUGUAAAAUUUAUGGUCACCAAAGCAAGAAUUAUUAUCAACCAUACAAAGACUCAAAUUUUAAAAUUUAAAGUCUUAUCGUGUAUAAUAAUUUUUUAUUUGUAGUUAUUUAUUUGUUGAAUAGGAAUUAUACUAGAUGCAUAUUAUAAUUGUACAUAUAACCACAUAUUUAUUAUCUCAUUACACAUAAUACCUAUUAAGCUAAAUUUAAUUGUUUAAUUUUGCAAGUUUAGAGUACAUUCUCUAAUAUUUUGUAUGUAUUGAACAAUCAAGUCAUUUGUGUAGACUAAUUAUUUAUCAAAUUGAACUUGUACUUCUUUCUUCUGAUUUAUAUACUCAUUAUACACAUGUUUUAAUAUUGCCUUAUAAUUUCAAAAAAAAAUCUAUACAAAUUGGGACACACGUGCUCAAAAACUAGUUCUAAAAAACAAGCUAAAAGAAAGACGUAUCUACAUUUGAAGUUCGAUUUUCGCCUAUUUUAUAUUCCGACAUAUUCAUUCACUUUGACUUAAAGGGCGUGUUUUGCGUGGUAGGUGAUGCACUUCAUCCCAUGACUCCUGAUCUUGGUCAAGGUGGAUGUUCUGCUUUAGAGGACAGUGUUGUCAUCGCAAAGUGCCUCGGAGAAGCCUUGAUAAAACCGAUAACAGAACAAGAAGACGAUGAAUCUACGAAGAUUAGAAAAGGACUUGAGAAGUAUGCUAAAGAGAGGAGAUGGAGAAGUUUUACAUUUAUCAGUGCUGCUUAUUUAUCUGGUUUCAUACAAGAGAGUGAUAACAAGAUAAUCAGUUUCUUAAGACAACAUUUUUUGGCUGGAGUUACUAUAUCAGUUACACUAAGAAUAGCUAACUUCGACUGCGGAAGAUUAACUGUUUCUUAGUAGCUCAAUUGGAUCUUUUAGAAGCUAUGAAUACCCUUUAUGGACUUUGUUUAGUAUCUAUCUAGCAUACAUGUUCUGGUUUAGCUGUGUUUAAGAAUUGUAAUACCGAAACGGAUCCUUAUUUUGCAAUAAUAAAAUACAAGUUGUGAGCAACCAAUUGUGUCCUUCAUCAAAGAUAUCCAACAACAUCAGUUGUUUAGAAGUAUUGAACAAGUGUUUUCUUAUCUGAGAUCAUUUCGUGCAAUUAGAUACUACUCCCUAUGUUUCAACGACUUGAUACGAAGUUUAACAAAGUAAAUAAGACUUUUGUACCAUGGACCGCUACUUGGUUCAAUGACUUCCAAUUUCCACAAGGGAUCAUUGUUUUGUUACAUACUCUUGAGUAGAUGUAGGAGGAAAUGCAGGAGUCAAAUCAUGUCUUUAAUUGUUUUUUUUUGUUUUUUUUUGGAUUUCUCACUUGACUUGUCAGGCAAUAGUAUCUCUCAUUGGAAAUUUGUUACAAGUUCUGCAGCAAAAUUUUCUACCGUUUGUCUUACAUAAUGGGAUCAAUUCACAUUGUCUUAGGUGACACACACGGCAGAGAUAGUCGAUGACCUCGAAAUGAAAAUAACAUUUAGAUGGGGUACAAGCACCCCCAUUCUUUUGUUUGUUUUUUCUCUCUAUUAGACUACUUUACUUUGAUUUUAUAUCAAUUUAUGAAUGUCGUAAGUAUGUAUUUUUAAUUGAAAUUUGCUAGUAACUAAACCUUAAAAUUUAUAGUUAUUAGCGUGAAAGGAAUUAAAUUUAACAUUAAAAUACGACCCUCAAUUGAUGUUUCUGGUCAUAGUACUGUUAAAAAAUUACUUAUGAUUGUUACAUUUUAUUAUUCAUUAUAGGCUUAUUUUCACAGAAAUUACACAAGUGUAACUCAUAAACUAGUAUAUAUAUAUAUAUAUAUAUUACUAAAAGUGGGAAGAAUCUAAAGCAAAAAUUAGAUUGCGAAAAUACCCUUAAGUAUUAAUUUAUUUUCUUAAAAUCAUUUUUAAAAAUAGCUUUUUAUUUAUUUAUUUUUAAUAUUUUAUAAAAAAUGAAUGUGUCAAUUACUACUCAUUUAUUUAUUUAUAUUCUGUAAUAUAAACAUUUAUUUGCCUUUAUUUCAAUUAUUCACAUGAAUUUUGAUUAUUAUAACUCCUAUAUUAUAUUAAUAGUCAUGUUCAUAAUAUCAUUUGAUAUUCCAUAUUAUUGUCCUAUAAAUAGAGAUAUUAUAAAGGUGCAAGUAUUACACAAUUUAGUUUGACUUUGCUACUUCUCCACCAUUGGUUAUGAGGGUGACACAUAUUCCCAACUUGUGAAUCAUUUAUGUCUUGAAAUAUGUACCAUUCAAUUGCUCAUUUGAAUUUGAACAAAUAAUUUUAUAAAACAGAGUAACUUUAGCUAAAUAAUUAUAAUGGAUAAAUGAAUAUAGUGUUUGAUAAAUAUGAUAGUAUUUAUGCGUUGCAUGUUUAUUUUCUAUUUUUUAUUAUAAAGUUCGUAAAAUAAAAUAGUAAAUAAAAAAAAAGGCACUUAAAAAGCUACACAACUUGUAAAAUUUAUGGUCACCAAAGCAAGAAUUAUUAUCAACCAUACAAAGACUCAAAUUUUAAAAUUUGAAGUCUUAUCGUGUAUAAUAAUUUUUGAUUUGUAGUUAUUUAUUUGUUGAAUAAGAAUUAUACUAGAUGCAUAUUAUAAUUGUACAUAUAACCACAUAUUUAGUAUCUCAUUACACAUAAUACCUAUUAAGCUAAAUUUAAUUGUUCAAUUUUGCAAGUUUAGAGUACAUUCUCUAAUAUUUUGUAUGUAUUGAACAAUCAAGUCAUUUGUGUAGACUAAUUAUUUAUCAAAUUGAACUUGUACUUCUUUCUUCUGAUUUAUAUACUCAUUAUACACGUGUUUUAAUAUUGCCUUAUAAUUUCAAAAAAAAUCUAUACAAAUUGGGAUACACGUGCCCAAAAACUAGUAUAUGGAUAAUGAUGAUUGAUUUGUAAGAACAGAACAUUUUGUUAUUUGCUGAAUACAAAAAAAGAUGUGGCUUGUUAACUGGUCAUGUUAUCGGAUUGGACCUUAGUUGCAGUCGGCUUGGUGGAACUAUUCAUCCCAAUAGCAGCCUCUUCCAACUCCAUCAUCUCCGGACACUAAAUCUUGCUCACAAUGACUUCAAUUUUUCUUCAAUCCCACAUAACAUUGGCCGAUUGACGAAUUUGAGACAUCUCAACCUUUCUGGUUCUUUGUUUGAAGGGGAAAUCCCAACAGAAAUCUCAUACCUUUCCAAUUUGGUUUCACUUGAUAUGAGUAACAAGUUGUUAGAAGUGACUAGUACUCAUCCAUGGACCGCUAGUUGUGUAUUUAGUGAUGCCAAAGUUGUAUUAUUUUCUCUCAAUUUAUGCCAAAGUUGGAAAUAGACUUAUGAGGGGGAAAGUACCCCAUUUUAUUUGUCUAGAUAUCUUUUCUUUCUUUAAUUUAAACCACACACUUCCAUAUACCCAGUGUAAUUCCUUAAGUCAGGGUUUAAGAAAGGUAGAGUGUACGGAGACCUUAUCUCUAUGAGGUAGAGAUAGAGAGGUUGCUUUCGAGAAUAAAAUACAAGUUGUGAGCAACCAAUUAUGUCCGUCAUCAAAACUACCCAACAACAUCAGUUGUUUAGAAGCAAAUAUGGUAAUUGGUAACAGCUUAAAGGUAAAUCUGAAGUAUUUUUUAAGUGUUGGCUUAUCUGAGAAUUAGAUGCUACUCCCUCCGUUUCAAUAUGUCUGAAUGGUUUUGACUUGACAUGGAGUUUAAAAAAGUAAAAAAAUAAUUGUAUCUUGUGGUCUCAAAUUAAAAUACGUAGAAUGUACCAUGAACCACUAAUUGGUUCAAUGACUUCAAAAUUCCACUGUAACAUUGUCUUGUUAAAUCAUGUCUUCAAUUAUUGUUCUUUUUAUUUUUCUCACUUGACUUAGUUAAGCAAUAGUAUCUCUCAUUGGAAAUUUGCUGCAAUUCACAUUGUUUUGCGUAACACACACGGCAAAUAUAGUGGAUGACCUUGAAAUGAAAACAACAUUUAGAGAAAACAAAUUUGGAAUAAUUGGUACUGGCCACCAAGAAUUAAAGACUCGAGUCUUUAUGGAAAUUGACUUAAAUUUGGGACAAAUUUUUUUGCAACCACAAAUUAGUUUGUGGUAGAUGAGGGGCAAGUACCCCAUUUUAUUUGUCUGGAUGUUUUACCUCACAGUCCCAUAGACAAGUCAACAACAACAAUAACAUAUUCAGUGUAAUCUCACAAGUGGGGUCUAGAGAAAAGUAGAGUGUGCGUGAGAGGUUGCUUUCAAUAGACCCUUGGCUAAAAAUAAAGCAUGGCCAAGCAUUUUGAAAAAGGGAAUACAAAAGUAAAAGUAAUAACAACAAUAAAAUAAUAUGAAAAGAAGAGUAGUACAACAUACAGAUGAAUGAAUAAUAUGACAAUAAAAUAAAGCGAUAUUCGAAGCACAAAAUACACAGGUGAUACUCGGGAAAAAAAAACUACGAUCGAAUAUAACACAUGAUAGACAAGUCAACAACAAUAAUUGCAUAUUCAAUAUAAUUUCACAAGUGGGGUCUAGAGAGAGUAGAAUUUGUGCAGAAAUUACAGGAGCGUAACUCAGAAACUAGUAUAUAUAUAUGGAUAAUGAUGAUUGGUUUGUAAAAACAUAACAUUCUAUUAUUUGCUGAAUACAAAAAAAAAAAAAAAAAGAGAAAAAAGAUGGGACUUGUCUUUUUCUUUUAUUCACUAGUCUGUUUUUUGUCGGUAAUUAGUGAAAGUUUUUCUUCUUCCUCUGUGAUGAUGCAUCAUGUUUGCUCUCCCACUGAAGCUUUUGCUUUGCUUCACUUCAAACAAUCCUCUCAAAUCUCUGACCAACCUAGAUGUUGGGAUGAGACUGAUCUGCAAUAUGAGAGAUAUUUUGAUAUCCCAAAAACAAAGUCUUGGAAUGAGAGUAGGGAUUGCUGCAGUUGGGACGGGGUAACUUGUGACAUGUUAACCGGUCAUGUUAUCGGAUUGGACCUUAGUUGCAGUCUGCUUUUGGGUACUAUUCAUCCCAAUAGCAGCCUCUUCCAACUCCAUCAUCUCCGGACACUAAACCUUGCUUACAAUAACUUCUAUUCUUCUUCAAUCCCGCAUAACAUUGGCCGAUUGAGGAAUUUGAGGUAUCUCAACCUUUCUCAAUCUUUCUUUGAAGGGGAAAUCCCAACAGAAAUAUCAUACCUUUCCAAUUUGGUUUCACUUGAACUUUUUUGUUACGGAUGUGAACUUGAUGAGAGAACAUUUGAAACAAUUCUUCACAACUUCACAAAUCUGGAGGUAGUUUCUCUCCUUGGUGUCAACAUCUCAUCUUCAAUACCUGUGAAUAUUUCUUCAUCCUCCUUACGGUACGUGGAUCUUGGACAUACUAAUCUGCGAGGUGUUAUCACAGAGAGCUUUUUCCUUCUGCCAGAAUUGGAAAAUCUCAAAUUGAAUGGAAAUGAUCUUCUCAAAGGAGUUUUACCAAAGAUCCACCCGAGCAACACUCUGUUGGAGUUGGAUAUUUCCUACACAGGAAUCUCCGGUGAGCUGCCUGAUUCAAUUGGCACCUUGAGUUCAUUGAAUCUCUUGAACAUGUAUAGAUGCCAAUUCUCUGGUUCCAUUCCUGAAUCCAUUGGCAAUCUUACACAAAUGCGGAAAUUGAAUUUUGGAAAUAAUCAUUUCACCGGCCAUAUUCCUUCCACAAUCUCUAAAUUGAAGCACCUCACAUUUCUAGGUCUUUCGUCCAACUCCUUUUCAGGUGAAGUUCCCGACAUUUUUUCUAACCUCCAAGAGCUACGUACUUUAUAUCUUCGUAACAACAGCUUCGUUGGUUCGUUUCCUUCUACAAUUGUAAGCUUGACACAUCUUCAAGACUUAGAAUUGUCGAGUAAUUCCCUAUCUGGCCAACUGCCUAUUAAUGUGAGCAUGCUUCAAAAGCUAACCAUAUUGGAUCUGUCGUACAACUCACUGAAUGGUACCAUACCAUCUUCGGUGUUUGGCCUCCCUUUGCUAUCUUCAUUAUUGCUCCAACAUAAUCAAUUUAGUGGACUAGAUGAUGAGCUCAAAACAAACCCAACAUUAGCACACCUGGGUUUAAGCCAUAAUCAACUCAGUGGUUCUUUGCUUCAAUCACUUUCGAAUCUCACAAACCUUUCUAUGCUUGACCUUUCAUCAAGUAACAUCACCGUUCAUGUGGGAAAACAAAUCACUUUUCCUGGCCUAGAAGUUUUGCGGUUAUCAUCUUGUGAACUAAAGGAUUUUCCACACUUCUUGAGAAAUGUGAAGACACUUUGGCUCUUGGAUAUUUCUAACAAUAAGAUUCGUGGCCAAAUCCCAAAACUGGUUUAGCGGCAUAAGGUGGGACAACUUGUGGUACCUAAACCUUUCGCAUAAUUCUUUAACAGGCCACCUACAACAAUUUCAUUUCCAUAAUCUAGAGUAUCUUGAUCUUAAAUUUAACUUCCUUCAGGGUCCACUACCUUCAUCCAUUUGUAUCAUGAACAAUUUUCAAUUUCUAGAUUUAUCACACAACAACUUCAGUAACUCGAUUCCAAGUUGCUUGGGAAGCAUGACUAGUCUAACAGUGUUGGACUUAAGAAAGAACAAUUUCACAGGGAGUCUUCCAUCGUUAUGUGCGCAGAGCACUUCAUUGAGAACCAUUGUCUUGAAUGGUAAUCAAUUUAAAGGAACUCUCCCUGUGUCGUUGCUCAACUGUAGUGGUUUAGAAGUUCUUGAUAUGGGGAAUAACGCUAUAAAUGACACAUUUCCUGCUUGGCUAGGAACACUUCAACAACUGCAGGUCUUAAUAUUAAAGUCCAAUGUGUUCCAUGGACCAAUUAGUACUUGUCAGACUACGUUUUGCUUUCCCAAGUUGCGAAUUUUUGAUCUUUCGCGUAACAAAUUCAGUGGCUCACUCCCUGCAAAAAGUUUUUGCAAACUUCAAGGCAAUGAUUAAAUUAGAUGGUGAAGACACAGGAUAGAUCAAGUACAUGAAACCAUCUGAUGAUCCAUUUGACACAUCGUAUGAGGAUUCAGUGAGUUUGGUGAUCAAAGGCCUGGAUAUUGAGCUAGAAAGAAUCAGCACAAUUAUGACAACCAUAGACCUCUCGAGCAACCAUUUUGAAGGUGUCAUUCCGAAAACACUAAAGGAUCUCAGCUCACUUUGGCUACUCAAUUUAUCCCGUAACAAUCUCAUAGGUGAUAUUCCAAUGGAAUUGGGGCAAUUGAAUAAGCUUGAAGCGUUAGAUCUCUCUUGGAACCGGCUCACUGGAAAGAUUCCGCAGGAAUUGACAAGGCUAACAUUUCUGGAAAAGUUAAACCUUUCUCAGAAUGUUCUCGUUGGACCAAUUCCUCACGUUCUACAAUUCAACACAUUUGAAAAUGACUCGUAUGGCGGUAACCUUGAUCUAUGUGGUCCUCCUUUAUCAGAGCAAUGUGGAACGAGUGAUCUAUCCCAUGUUCCUCAACCAUUGGAGUCUGAAGACGAAUCAUAUUUUUUUAGUGGAUUUACGUGGGAAUCAGUAGUCAUAGGCUACAGUUGUGGACUAGUUGUUGGAACUGUUGUGUGGAGCCUCAUGUUUAAAUAUCGUAAGCCAGAAUGGUUUGUCGAAUUUUUUGAAGGCAUUUAUCCCAAGAAAAUGAGAAUGUCAAUGAAGAGAGCUCAGAGACGACGGACUUGAUGGAAGAUUGCAAGAGUGGACUUCUCUGUUUUUUAAUUUUCUUUUUGUUGUUUGUAUAUGUUUGAUAGCAAUAUAAUUGCAUGUGUUAUUUUGUGAAUUUCCACUGGAUUAAAAUUAGUGUUCUUGAUCUUUGCUUUCAAACUAAAAAAUUAAACUCAAAAUAAAAACAAGAGGACAUAAAACAUAACUUUCCUUUUUUACUAAAACAAUUUAUUCAAUUACUCUUGAGUUUAAUCAACUUCAACAUGUUUGGUAAUAUCAUCUCAAAUUAAUAAUACUAAAAAUGAUGGAUUUAAGAUCAUUCAAAUCCACAUAUAAAUUGAUUAUUGUAUAAUGGCAAUCCUCAUGCCUUCACUUAAUUGAAAGAAUGAGCCAAAGCUGUCAUGACAUGAGCUUGGUCUGAAAUAAUUUGUGUAGUUGAAGGAUUUUGUCCCAAAACAAUACAAUAACCAUCAUCAUAAUUCUCCAUUCCAUGUGCCAUUAGUUGCCAUACUAAACUUCCUCCCAUUGUUCCACCUUCUUUUGCCAAAUUAUACACAUUUCUAUAUACACUACUCAUAAAUAUAUCUCUUGAUCCUUGACCUCUACUAGACUUUCCAAAUUCAGCAAGCACUAAAGGUUUCUUUAAUAUAUUUCUUGCAUCUUCCCAAUGACUUGUUAUCCACUUUUCCAUCCACACCAAUUGUGCUUCAUCACUUUGUCCAGAUACCCUAUAACGAUCGAUAUAAAGAAAUAUUUAGACCUAUAUAAUGAAAACAUAUGAAAUUGUAUGUAGGGAAAAGAUGUAAAAACUACCAUUGGUCAGUGUAUGCAUGGAUAGUAGCAAAAUCAAUUUCAUUGAUAAGAUGGUUACUAAUGAUUUGAUAUUUCUAAAAUUCAAUUAAUUAAACUUGAAUUGGGGAUUACAUUAACAGUUUUUCCUGAAUAGUCAGCUUGAUCGCGAGGCUCAUUCAUGAGUUCCCAUUCCAUAAUUGUUGGAUCAUCUUUGUAAGCAACUUUAUUAAUACUAUUCAACCUUGUAACCACUUUCUGUAACAAUUUCGUAAUAUUAUUAAUUAAAAAAGUUGUUUAUAUGUAUUAAAUAAUAAUUACCCCAUAUAUACCUCAAUGUGGUUCUUCAAGUAUUUUUUGAGCAUAGGAUGAGUAUAGAAUUCAUCGUCAUUACUAAUUUGAGCUCCUGCAUUUCGCGCCCACCAAACAUAUUGAGCUUUUCCUCCAAAAAUCGUUUCAUUGAUUUACAAAGCUCAAGAUUAAACGAACACCAUAUUUCUUAGCUUCCGCGAUCACAAAAUCCAAGCCCUAAAUUUAGAAACAAUUAAAAUAAGUACUAUCUAAUUAAGAGACUCAUCACAUGCAUUACAAUGCAAUAAUGUAAAAGAUAUCAAAAUUAUAAUAAUAAACCUUUACCUGAAAAACACGUUCAUCAUAAACGCCAGGUGAUAUUUGUAAUGCUCUAUCACCUCCAUCACUAAAAGCCCAAGUACGACAAACAGAAAGACCAGAGGUAGAAGCAUCUUUAAGAACCUCAGUGCCUUUGUAUCUCUCAGUAGGGUCAGCAGCAACAUGCAUCAACCAAUAUGAGUUGAAACCAUUGAAUAGAAAAGGGGAUCCAUUGAGUUCAAAAUGAGAAUCCUUAACUCCUAUAAACCCGGAAUUUGCUUCACAAGCAAGAGCUAAGAACAAGAGAAAGAGCCCAGAAAUGCAACUUCUUUUUGUAUAAGACAUUUUGUUUAGUGAAUUAUAGAAGAUAUAUGUGUGCUAUGUUAGAUGACACCUUUUAUAGUGUGUUGAAGAUAAGGAAAUUUACUAAAAUUAAAUUAGCAAAACUUACAAAAACUAAAAAAAAUUCCUAGUGGAUAUAAUUGGAUAUUGAGAUUUGAUGAAUUUUUUUAAAAAAAUUAGUUAUUUGGUUAAGAUAGAAACAAAGUUCUGUUGAAAAAAUUGUAUGGGGAGAAAAGAAGAAGAAAAAUAUGGAAACAUUAAUUGGUUUGUUUUUUUUAAGGUUUGUUCACUAUUAGAUUUGAUGAUGAAAUAAUAUUGAAACGUGUACUCAUUGUAUUUUUUAUAGUAAUAUACUUGAAUAUUUCUAUGUGGAUGUGUUAUGUGUGUAUUUUAAUCUUAUUUUAUUGCAAGAAAUUGAGCCAAAAUAAAAAUAAAAAUACUUUUAAAAAAAGUUUAAAAGAGAAAUAAAGAGGGCAUAACAUUAUUUGGGAAUAAAAUAAUUUUUUUGGAAGAUAUAUUCUUAAAAAAAAGGUGAGUUUCUUAUUUAUUUUUUUGGUAUGAAUAAGUGAAUUUCUUACUUAUUUUCUGGUAACAUAUUUGGGAUCUUUGAUGUUUAGUUUAUGCUAAUUUGACAAAUUUCAUAGUCCAUAUGUCCCAAGUAUCAUUUUGGAUGAAGUCGUCAAAGACGACUUUAAACUUAGAAUAGGCAAAUUUAAAAUAAGUGUGAUCUUAUUAUACGUGGAGGCGGAUGCAAUGGUUUAAUUAUGAGUUCAAUCGAACUCAAUAUUUUUGUCACAUAACAUAUAUGUAAUGUAGAAGUCAAAAACACAAAAAUAAAAAGAGAUUCUAUAUUCAUAAUUAAAAAAAGUACAAUUAGUUCAGUUUAAAUUCUAAAUUCGACUCAAACUAUAUGUAUAUAGAGUUGUAAGUUGAAAACAAUAGGUUCACUUCUACUCAGAACUCGCCCUGAAUCCGCCUCUGGAAGUAACCACCUAUUCCACGGCUAUGGAGGAAAAAUUGAAAAGAUCGUCCCCAAAAUGCUAUUAUAUACCAAUAUAAAGUAUGAUUUGACGUAUACAGUGUAAUUUUUCGACGAAGAGUGUUCAGAGAAACCACAGAACACCGUAGCUCCGCCCAUGAUCCCUGUAAGCAACCACCUAUCCGGUCGUUAACAUAUUAACCUAAAAAAAAUAUAACCUGAAGUUACAAUUGAUAUUAUUCUAUUUUGUCAACUGGAUUUUAGCGUUAUUGUUGUUUCUCGAUCUAUAUUACUGUUUACUACUUUGUCAACCCUUUAGUUACAUUUUUGAAUUUCUUUUUCUAGCUGAAGUUAAAAUAUACUAUCAGUGUGGAGGGAAAUAGCAUUGAGAAGAUGCAUACAUACUUUUCUUUAGCAACUUGAGUCAUUGCAAACAAUGCAAAAUCUCCGCAGAUGUUGCGGUUGCCAAAAAGUUAAAUAGGCGAUUUCGUUGUGGGAAUGUUGUUGAAAUUAUAUUUUCGGAUGUAAUCCACUGCAUAAAAAUAGGAGCCAGAACCCUUGAAGCCAUAGGGAAGCACUGUUAUGUCUCACUAGUUUGCAUCGAACAAUGCAUCCCCUUAAGGUUACUGACAAGCUAUCUCAAGUGGAUGAAGCUUUGUCAAUAGCCAAUAUAAUGACAAAUCUCAAGCAACUCGAGCCUCCCUAGAUGUUGGUUGGUAUAAAAAGAAAAUUGAGGUCGUUAAAAACUGCAGACAUCUUGAGCUACUAGAUGUAAGAGGUUGUUGGAAUGUGAACCUGAUGAAAAUUUAGUGAAGAAAUUCCAUCUUAUAGGUGGUUGAUGCAAUUGUCAUAGAUUGCUAUAAUAGGAAUAGCUGGGACAAUUGUUCUAACUAUUCAAGUUUUUUGUCUAUGUACAAUGGGAUUUUGUGGUUGGUGAAGCGGAUGACGACGAAUUUGAUGAGAUGUCCGAUGUGUAUUGGGGGGAUGAUCAAGAUAUGGAGGAUGUAAAAAUGUGGUGUAAUGAUGACUUAAAUGAUGUGGACUCUGGAUAUGAUUGGCUGCCAUCUCCUUGAGGUUUGCUUAUAAAAUUCUACUUAUUCAAUUUCCAGAAGUUUUGAAAUACUUCUCUUCUCUAUGUUAAAUGCCUAUGCUUCUCUAUGUUAUAUAUGAAAGUUUGUCCGCUCUCUACAAUACAAGGUAAAUGCGAGUUAUGUGUCUUGUGUACCUUUUUCCUCUUUCUUUGUUCUCUUUUAUUACUUUCUUAACUGUAUGUAUUCAUAUAACAAUAUUUUCAUGCUAUCUACAUGUUUGCUACAUUUGAGUCGAGGGUCUUUCAAAAAAUAGUCUUUCUUCCUCCACGAGGUAAUUGUAAGGCCUACAUACACUCUACCAUCCCCAUACCUCAGUUGUGGGAUUCCAAUGAGUAUGCUGUUGUUUCUUAGCUUGUGGUUCUUUGAGGAGUUCAUGCUUUCAUUUGAAUUUUCCAUCUGGUUGUUUGUUUCUCCUUUUUAACUCUACUGCUGAUUUUUUAAACUAAAGUUAUUCUACUCCAUCUUGUGGUUUCCAGAUUUUCUGUUCUUUUUGUUUUUGUUUGAGCUUCUUCUUAAUCUGCUUCGUCAGCUUUCUAAAUUCAUGUAUGAGCUAGUAAAAGAAACAAAGUCUAGCAGAAGAAAGUUAUGACGCCAUAUCUAAAUAGCUUGAGUCAUGGAAAAGUGUCCCAUGACAGUUUUGUUGAGUUCAUGUGGUAGUUCUAGUUUAAUUUUAAAUUCUUAGAGUCAAAGUUCUAUUGUUGUGCUACUUAAUUAUGUUGUCUUAAUUAAUGUUUUGUUUUCCUAUGAUUUUUCAUUCUUUUAUCUUUUUUUUGUGCAGGGAGAGGGAACAAUUUUUGAAUUGAUUAUUAUCAAUGUGGUUUGUACAACAUUAGCCUGAUUUAUUUCAUUCAUUAUUAUAUUGUGUUACCAACAGUUUAGCUUUAAGAAACUUAUGAAAAGUGAAUACAUGUCAAAUGACAUGGAGAAAGCUUAAAGAUUGGUAGGGUUCAGUGCUUGUUACCUUUUACUAUAAUGCUUCUUAUUAGUCCUUUGUUAUAAAAGUUUAAUUAAUGCACCGGAUAUAGGGUAGUAGAGAUUCAUAUAAAAUUGUGCUUAAAUAGCCUUAACACUACUAAUAUAUAUCUUAAAAUAAUAAGCUUCACAUUUGAUGUAGUCUUGGUACUCUGAUUAAUUUGAAUUGAUAGUGUAUUAUUGUCGAAAUAACUAGGGUGUCCUACUCUAGUCUCUUUUUCAGCUGUCAUUUUGCUGGAUUUCUGUUUGUUUUGGGGUAUUUUUAACUAUCUCAGAUCUUUUCCAGAGUCUUUUAAUCAAAUCUGAUGGAAAUUUGCAUGAGCUUGCUAAAGUAUUAAGUUUAUGAAUGAGUUGUUUUGACAUACUGAAAGGUAAUCAUAAGUUAGAUUUGAAAUUUGAUUUUUCCUUUGUAAUUAUAGCCUCGGUUAAUCAAUCUCUUUGGUGCUUUAUGGUUAUCUAAAUUACAUAAUAUCUUUUUAGAAUAAAUAAGCUUUUUUGCUUCCAAUUUAUGUCCAGAUAAUGUGUAAAGUUGAUGACUGAUCCUUCCUAGUAAUUCUGGUUCUCAUGAUGGAUAAUUCCUUUAUUGAUGAUCUAAAACUCUAGUUAAUGAGAGGCAUAUAAACUGUGUUGUAAUUCUUUUAGUUACACCUUUUAUAUCUAUGGCAUGUCUAUUAACAUUUAUUCUUAUGUCUUUGACAUUUUCUUACAUCUAGAUUUAGAUUCAUUUAUUUGAAAUAUAUGCAAUUUUGUUUGGCAGAAAGACGUGUUUAGUUAUAUAAAUAAUGUGGAUCUCUUAAAAUUCGGAAACAUACCCACCUUAUUUCCAUGAUUAUUUAUGCUUUGAAUUGAACUAAGUUAUAUUCUUUUUUUUUCUGCAGCUUCUCAACACCUGAUUGUUCAAAAGAUCCUACAAGAACCUGUCAUUGAAGAGAGUAUAUAGAGCUGAUAUUAGCGACUAAAUGUUUAUGAACAAGAGAGAUACAUUCAUAUUUUUUCAGUUAUUUAAAGAUGUCCUCUUCUAUACAUGUCAUGGUUCCUUCUUUUUCUACAAUUGUAAUGUUGUAGAAGUGAGAUUGAUAUAUCUUUGAUAAUAAUGCUUAGUUCUUCGUAAUAAACUAUGAAAUAUUUUAUGAGUAUUGAUUAUAUAGUACAUUUUCAGAUGUAUUUAUAUAUUAAGAGUGUGGGCCUACAUAUAAAACACUAAUGUAGAUUGGGUUAGUUUUUGUAAUUAAUGAUUUUUAAUGAUGGGAAUAACAAUUUACGAAAGGAAUAUUUUGUUGUCGCUAAAACACUUUUAACGACAGAGCCUUUAACGACCGGCAACAACUGGAAAUUUUCCGGUUGUUAUUGACUAAUGACAACGGGAUCAAGGCUUUUAGCGACCGGAUUUCCUCUCGUUGAAGACCUAUUUUCCUGUAGUGCCAAGGUAAAUCUUUCUCAGAAAUCCUUAACUUUGAAUCCAUAUUAUUGAAACUUUGACCAACGUGAUAAUUCAAACGUGUAUUUGACCAUUAUCUCAAUUCCUUUUGUUAGUCCAGUACGUGACUAACUUUGAUAAGCUUCAAUUAAGGCCUUAAUUGGGUGUGACGGAGUCAAUUCUGUGGUGGCAAACUGGCUUGGGUUUCAGAAACCUGUCUAUUCUGGGCGCUCUGCAAUUAGAGGCUUUGUUGAGUAUCCGGAAAAACAUGGGUAUCAGCCUAAGUUCCACGCGUAUUUUGGAGGUGGAGUUCGGUUUGGAUUUCUUCCUAGUGAUGAGAAGAGUUUGUACUGGUUUUGCACAUUCACACCAUUUGUUGUUCAUUGUAGCCAGCUCCUACAUACUGUUUCUUUUGAAAUUUUACUUUUUGAAGGAUAUUUUUGUUGGCUAGAGAGCUUACCUCUCUGAAGGGGGAGCCUUGACGUAAUUGGUAAAGUUAUUGUCAUGUGACCUAGAGGUUACGGAUUUGAGCUGUGGAAACAGCCUCUUGCAGAAAUGUUGGGUAAGACUGCAUACAAUAGAUCCCUGUGGUCCAGACCUUCCCCGAACCCUGUGCAUAGUAGGAGCUUAGUGCACCGAGCUGCCCAGAUAGCUUACAUUUCAUAAACUAGUCAUGUUUAGUUGUUCAUUUUUAAUUGGUAUUUUAUGCAGUUGAUGGAAAUGCAGAACAAGAUCCAAUGAAAUUGAAGCAAUUCGUGUUGAACAAGGCUAGUAAUGUGUCUAAAGAACUCUCCACCAUUAUAGACAGAACUACGCUCGACUGUAUAUCUAUUGCUCAGCUGAAAUUGAGGUUGCCAUGGAAUGUUCUGCUUGGAAUAUUUAGAAAAUAACGUUUGCGUGGUAGGUGAUGCACUUCAUCCCAUGACUCCUGAUCUUGGUCAAGGUGGAUGUUCUGCUUUAGAGGACAGUGUUGUUAUCGCAAAGUGCCUCGGAGAAGCCUUGAUAAAACCGAUAACAGAACAAGAGAUGAUGAAUCUACGAAGAUUAGAAAAGGACUCGAGAAGUAUGCUAAAGAGAGGAGAUGGAGAAGUUUUACAUUUAUCAGUGCUGCUUAUUUAUCUGGUUUCAUACAAGAGAGUGAUAACAAGAUAAUCAGUUUCUUAAGAUUUUGGCUGGAGUCACUAUAUCAGUUACACUAAGAAUUGCUAACUUCGACUGCUGAAGAUUAACUGUUUCUUAGUUGCUCAAUUGGAUCCUUUAGAAGCUAUGAAUAUCCUUUAUGGACUUUGUUUAAUAUCUUUCUAGCAUACAUGUUCUGGUUUAGUUAUGUCUAAGUAAGACCGAAUCAGAUCCUUAUUUUACAAUAAUAAAAUUGUGUCCUUCAUCAAAGAUAUCCAACAACAUCAGUUGUUUAGAAGCAAAUAUGGUAAAAGCUGCAUUUUAUUAUUAUCAUGGAAAACAGUGUUAAAGGUAAAUCUCUGAAGUAUAGAAUAAGUGUUUUCUUAUCUGAGAUCAUUUUGUGCAAUUAGAUACUACUCCUUCUAUUUCAAAUCUGGUUUUGACUUGACACGAAGUUUAAUAGAGUAAAGAAGAUCACUUUUGUAUCUUGUGGGCUCAAAUUUAAAAUAUGUUGAAUGUACCAUUGACCACUACUUGGUUCAAUGACUUCCAAAUUCCACAUCAUUGUUUUGUUACAUACUCUUAAGUAGAUGUAUGAGGAAAUGCAGGUGUCAAAUCAUGUCUUUAAUUAAUGUUGUAUAGUUUCUCUCAUUGGAAAUUUGUAAGAAGUCUGCAGAAAAUUUCUGUACAGUGUGUGUUACGUAACGGGAUCAUUUCACAUCGUCUUGCGUAACACACACUGUAGAGAUAGUCAAUGACCUCGAAAUGAAAACAAUAUUUAGAGAAAAUUAGGACAUAGUGAGUAUUAUUUGGUUAAGUCUUACUUCGUCGUCUAAAAAGUCUUGUGGAAUAAUACAAAAUAUGAGUAACAAGUUACUCAUUUUAGUAGAAUGAGCCACCCGCUAACCUGUGACUUAGAGAUAUGGAGGCGAUCCUCAAAUGUUUAGAAACAAAUAUUUGCUUCAGAAUUUGUCUGUAUAGAGAAACAGAUCCACAAUUAGUAAUAUAGAGAUAUUGUGUGUGCUUUAAUUUCUGCUGUAUUGUUUGAUCUUAGUCAAGGACCUGGUCCCUUGACCCCAGCGGGUGGAUUCAUACGAUUCGUGGCUCGAUCCUUAACUGGUUUAGCUACAUGAGAUGGGAUUCAUUGUCGCACCUAAACCUUUCACAUAAUUCACCUACAAGAAACGUAAUAUAGAUCCUGUAUAAUAUUAACAAGUAAUGUUGGAAUAAUCUCAUGAUUUUUUUUUUUUUGUGGUCUAUGUAAGAACCUUGCUAUUUUUAGCAUUUGCUUCGACUAAUGAUUUAGUUAUUUUCCGUCUCAUCAUAUUUGUCCUUUUUUUCCCCUGUAGUCUUUGUGGAAAUUGGCUUAAAGACUUGGAAGUUUUUUAAACAUCUAUUUCUACUACAACUACAUGGAUGUGAAAAGUCUGGAAAAUUAUAGAAUGUGACUCACAAGUGGGAAAAAUUCCACACGGUAUCAUUAAUGUUACAUCCUAGCAACUCCAGAGAAGCUACCUGAACUGUAUCAUAUUUCUCCCUUUGUUUCCCUGUAGUUUUUGUGGAAAUUGGCUUAAAGUCUUCGAAGUUUUUUAAACAUCUUUUUCUACUACAACUACUUGGAGUUUCUCCUCAUUAACUUAGUCAAGAAAUAGAAAUUUGUUACAAGUUCUGCAACAAAUUUUUCUACCGUGUGUGUUACGUAACGGGACCAAUUCAUAUCAUCUUAGGUGACACACACUGCAGAGAUGGUCGAUGACCUCGAAAUGAAUACACAUCUAGAGAAAAAUUAGCUAGAACAUAGGUGAGUAUUAAUUAUUUUCCCAAAGUCAUUUCCGUUUUCUAAAAAGUCUUGUGAAACACUACAAAAUACAGAGUAACAAGUAGACAUUUUAAUUUGUAUAAAGUUGAACAAAUAGACACACAUGUCCUACGUGACAUCCUACAUGUCAUUUUUUAUCCUACGUAGUGUCCUACGUGUAUUAUGUCAUGUAGGACUCAUGUGUCUACUUGUUCAACUUUAUACAAGUUUAAGUGCCUACUUGUGCAUAUCCAAAGUUGAAGGACAUAAACGUAAAAUGAGGCCAAGUUAAAGGGCACAUUUAUGUUUAAUGCCUUUUUGGAAAUAGACUUCUGAGGGGGAAAGUACCCCAUUUUAUUUAAUAAAAACUACAUAAUUAGACAUACUUAACUACCAUAUAUACAUAUAUUAUCUAUAGUUUAAAAUAUUACUCUUAAUACCACUUUUUAAUAAUUAUACCAUAUAUUUUAAAAAAGUUAAAUCUUAUAUGAUAUUGAAUAAUUAUCUUAAAAUUUAAACUCCUUAAUAGAAGGUACAUUAACAAUUAACCUCCCUCAAUUAGGGGUGUGCAUUCGGUUUUUCGGUUUGGUUUUACACUAUUCGGUUUGGAUUUUCGGUUUUUGGUUUUGUAAAAAUGUAACCCAAUCCGAUCCAAAAUAAAUUUGGUUUGGUUUGGUUUUCCUCUAUUCAGUUCGGCUUUUUUCGGUUUGGUUAUUCGGUUAUGUCAAUAAUUAAUAAAAAAUAAACCAAACCAAAAAACCAAACAAAGUAAUUUAUUAAUCCAAAACCAAUCUGAAAAACCAAAAAACCAAUCCAAAUAAAAAUUCGGUUUGAUUUGGUUUGGUUAUUCAGUUUAAUCCGAAUAGUGCACACCCCUACCCUCAAUCUCCUUCACCAACUAUAUAUCUCCUCCCCCCAAACCCCACGUCCUCUGCCAUUUUUUCUCUCUUCCUUCGUCCUCCUCAUAAUAUCUAAUAAAAACGAUUUUGGUUCAUAUUUGAAUCCCAGGUGUAUCUACAUGUCCUAUGCACAUGUCAUUCUUCCAUAUGUCUGAUGUUUGUGUAUCCAAAUGUCUUAUGUAUCUUCCUUUCAUCUAUAUAUCUACCGUUCUUCUCCUUAUUCUAUGUAUUUUGUUUAUUUAUUAAAUGUAUAUGUAUUUUCUAUUAAAUAUAUAUGAGUUGUAGAGUUCAUAUUGCUCUAAAGUUUGAUUUUAUAAACUUUUACAAAUUAGGUUUUACAUUGUUUGCUAGCUUUUGUUGUUUCUCAAAUUUUAAUGAAUGACCAUUCAUAAAACAGGUCGAAAAUAGAUCUAAGUUUAAGAACGAUCCUUUAAAAUUGUUGAAUACAUGUAUCUCACCUUUAAUUCAAAUUAAUAGCACGUAUCUCGAUUUUUAAUACUGUUGGAUACACAUAUCUCACUUUUAAUGAUACAUGUAUCUCGCGGUCAUGAUUUGUUCCUAAAAUUUGUGUGUUUCAGUUGCAUUUUAUAUUUAGAUCCACAUAAUCACAUGUCUAUACUUACUAUGUAUUCGAGAUACAUGUUUUUGAAUAUAAUGUAUGAAAUUGAUACAUCAAAUUAAUACUAGAUACGUGAAAUUAAAACUAGAUCAUAUAAAUAGAUACAUGAAAUUAAUACUUGACACAUAUAACAAAUACACGAAAUUAAUACUAGAUACUUCUAUGAUACAUAUGAAUGUACUUGUAUAAUACUCAUGUAUCUAAGUAUUUAGUUUGUUGGAUACAUCAUAUAUAGAUAAUAGAUACAUCAAAUUAACGAAUUUAUUAUUUUAAGAGUACUAAAUGAAAUUAAUCAAAUUACAUGACCAAGAUAUACAUGCUUUUGUUUAUUACUAAUAAUAUAAUGAAUUUAUUAUUUCAAAGGAUAAUUUUGAAAUAAUAAAUUGAAAUUAAUUAAAUAUAGAUACACUCCUUGAUUUCCGCCUUAUGAUAAGCGAUUUGAUUAAUUUAAAUUUUCAGAAUUAAUUAUUCAUGUAUAUCCUUAAUUACUCCUCUAAUUAAGGAAAUUGGUUACAACCUAUUAAUUCAAACAAAUAAAAUAUGUAUCUCAUACAUGUAUCUCCAGAUUCAAUCUCAUGUAUCCUAAGUAUGAAAAUAUGGUAGAGGAAGUAAUAUUUGAAACUAUCGGGAAUCUUAGUAAUUAGGACCUAAACUAGUGGGAUUUAUGUAGUUUGCCCUUUUAUUUAUCUGGAUAUUUUUCUUUAAUUUAAACCUCACACUUCCAUAGACUAGUCAAAAACAACAUCAAUAAUAUCCCUUAAGUCGGGAUUUAAGAAAGGUAAAUCUGAAGUAUUUUAAAAGUGUUGGCUUAUCUGAGAAUUAGAUGUUACUUCCUCCGUUUCAAUAUGUCUGUAUGUAUGGUUUUCACUUGACAUGGAAUUUAAUAAAAAAAUAAAAAAAAUUAUAUCUUGUGGUCUAAAAUUAAAAUAUGUAGAAUGUACCAUGACCCACUGUUGACACCCAAUUUUGGCCUAAUAUUUUCAAAAAUUCAUAACUUUUAAGUUUUAUUUAUUUAAUAGUUCAAGAUAAUUUUUUUUAUAAUUUUAAAUAAGUUUAUCGAUAACUAUUCUUAUUUAUCAAAAUUUAGAAAUUUUUUUUCCUAGUUAAUCUUAAAAUUACACUUUUUACAUGUCAUUAGUUAUGUUCAUUACAUUUUUUAAUAUUUAUUUUUAAUAUAGUUCAGAAAUUCAUUUCGAUGUGGAUAAAAUUUCUUACACAUAUAUUUUGGGCCACAACCUUGAGCCCAUGACUUGGGCCCAUUGAUAAUUUCCAAUUCUCUACAUAUAGAACUAACACAUUAGGUUAAAGGGGGUGGUGAAUUUAUUUUUAGAAUAAGGUCAUAAACUUUUCAGAUUUUUGUUCACAAGGGGUUUCCGGUCACCACCACCCCGGAAUCCGGCGAAGCUCCGGCAAUACAAAACCCCGACUCAAAACCUCCAUUUUCUUUCCUUCACUGUUCAUCCUUAAAGAAAACACCACCAAAGAACCUCCAAAAUUCGUCUUCUCUCCCCAAUGCCGUUUCCGGCAAGACAACGAACCAAAACAUCCACCAAACCCAUCUUUGUUCCCUUUCUCAUUUUCCGGUGAAAUAAAAACGACCCUAAAUCCACCAGAAAUCCCACACAAACCAGACCACCACAAAAACCCCUCGGAACCGGUCCCUUCCCCUCUCCCUUUUUACGAUUUUUAGUCCAUUUUUGCAAGUACUCCGGCGAGGUCUCAAAGCUCCAGAACCCAUCUUCGGCGAAACGACGCCAAUAACCACAAACUCCGGCGAAGCUUCAUGCCAUGGCUAUGACGACGGUCAGCAACAACAAACCACCAUGAAAUAACCAAAUCCGGCCUUCUAAGAGAAAAAACUUUCAGAUCUGCCCGGAAAGGUAAUAAUUUUGACAACCGUAUUUAGUCAUUGUUUUGUUCUCAUGUUUAUACUAAUUAUUGUAUUAUUUUUCAUAAUGUUGUGUUGUUACACAUAAUUUUAUCAUUAUUGCUAUCAUUAUUUGUGUAUAUUGUGGGUUUGUCUCCAUUUUAUAUUGUUAUUUUCCUUGUAUUUAUUUGAUGAGUUAUUUAGUCACAGUUGGAGUAAUUGUGUUCUGCUUUAAUUAUAUGUUGGUAUUUAAUUAUUAUUGUUGUUAAUGUUCAUUUUGUGGGUUAUCCGCUUUAUAUUAACUAUGCACUAGUUAUUAUUAGUUGUUAUUUUUUAAUUUUUCGUGUUGAGUUUUGUUAACUAUGUUAUUAAUCUUUGCAAAUGUUGGAAAAAUAAAGAAAUAUUCAGCAACUUUAUUUUGGUUUCUGGAUGACACGUAAUGUUACUUGUGACAUAUAUAUAUUUAAUUUAUUAUGCUGCAAUCAUUUAGAUUUUCAAAAGUUGGGUAGUAAUUAGUUUUUUAUAUAUUCUUUAUUACUUAUUGGUUGUUAUCUUGUUUUCUUGUUAUUUUGGACCACUAUAAUGUUGUAUAUCGUUGGUUUGAUUAUUCUGUUGUUGAAGAUUUAUUCCAAUGGAGUUUACAUUAUUUUAAUAUUGGCUAAUUUUGAUUAUCUAUUACGUUCUUUCAUUCGCUAAAUUUUUGUUUGAUGCUACACUUGUUUAUAUAUUUACUUGUUAAAAUUGGCCAAUGAAAAAAUCUCUCCGUCGAUUUUGGAGGCCUCCAUAUUGUAAAAGACGGAAAUUUAGUUUAAGUUCAUAUUUGUUACAAGUUGAAAUUGACCAAUGAGAAAAUCUCUCCAUAGAUUUUGGAGGCCUUUACAUUGUAAAAAACGGAAAUUUAGUUUAAUUUCAUAUAUUUUGUUUGUUCAAAAUGGCCAAUGAAAAAUUCCUCCGUCGGUUUUAGAGGCUUUUCCAUUUUUUAAAGACGGAAAUUUAGUUAAUGUUUAUAUUUUUAUAUGUCAAAAUCGGCCGAUGAAGAAAUUACCGUCGAUUUCCAAGGUCUCCCAUUUUAAUAAGACGAAUUUUUAUUUUUUAAGUUAUUGUACAAUUCAUUUAUUUUUAUUCAUAUUUAUUUAUUACUAACACUUUUACUAAGUAUCUUUAUAGGUACCCGGAGCUGCUUCCCAUUGAAGCUAUUCGAACAAAGUUCGAACAAUAUUUUGAUUCAUUGUCGUAUAUUAUUGACGAUAGACAAAUCUAGGUUGUUUCUUAUAUUAUUUUAUUUUAUUACUUGUGUAUCUUGUUAUGUUUGUUUUAUUUAUAUAUUAUUUUUAUCUCCUCCUCAAUUUGAAAAAGUGAACUCAGUCGGGACCCACAAUUGUGGAUUUCGAAGGAUGCCUAACCCCUUCCCUUCGAAAUAACUUGAAUCCCUUACCUAGAAUCUCUUGGUUUCGUAGAUUAAUUAAUUGGUUUCCUAGUUUUCCUAAAAUUAGGUGGCGACUCCUUUAACAUUCCUUUAAUCAAAAAAUUUUUUUAAAAAUUGAAUCAAUUGUUUAUUUUUUGAGUCAUCGCGACGUUUCGUCCUAUUCGAAUAGAGUAGGGAUGUAAACACCCACUAAUUGGUUCAAUGACUUCAAAAUUCCACUGGAACAUUGUCUUGUUAAAUCAUGUCUUCAAUUAUUGUUUUUUUAUUUUUCUCACUUGACUUAGUCAAGCAAUAGUAUCUCUCAUUGGAAAUUUGUUACAAUUCACAUUGUUUUGCAUAACACUCACUACAAAGAUAGUGGAUGACCUCAAAGUGAAACAACAUUUAGAGAAAACAAAUAUGAAAUAAUUGGUACUAGCAACCAAAGACUUUGAGUCUUUAUGGAACUUGACUUAACAUUAGGGACUAAAAAAGCAACAUAGUGGAUGACCUCGAAAUGAAAACAACAUUUAGAGGAAAAAACUAUGGAAUAAUUGGUACUAUAGCAACCAAGACUUAAAAGACUAAAAGACUCAUUAAUGUUGCAUUACAUGCAUAUUCUAAGUAAUGUUGCAUUACAUGCAUAUUCACACGGUAUCAUUAAUGUUGCAUUAAAUGCAUAUUCUAAGUAAAGACAGGAGUUAAAUCAUGUCUUCAAUUAUUGUUCUUUUUAUUUUUUUCACUUGACUUAGUCAAGCAAUAGUAUCUCUCAUUGGAAAUUUGUUACAAUUCACAUUGUUUUUCAUAACACACACUACAAAGAUAGUGGAUGACCUCAAAAUGAAAACAACAUUUAGAGAAAACAAAUAUGAAAUAAUUGGUACUAGCAACCAAGACUUUGAGUCUUUAUGGAACUUGACUUAACAUUUGGGACUAAAAAAGCAACAUAGUGGAUGACCUCGAAAUGAAAACAACAUUUAGAGGAAAAAAAAUAUGGAAUAAUUGGUACUAUAGCAACCAAGACUUAAAAGACUUGAGUCAUUAUGGAAAUUGACUCAACAUUUGGGACAAUUUUUUUUACAACCACAAAUUAGUUUGUGGUAGAUGGGGGGCAAGUACCCCAUUGAGUUCGAAUCAUGAAGUUAGUAUCCGAGACAUGUAUAAUACACAAUUGCAAAUAGUAUGGACAAGAGGGGGUUGCUUAGGUGGUAGCACCUUCCACCUCUUAGCUUAAUGUUAAUUAUAUAUACUACUUUAUUCAUGUUUUAGUUUGACUCGGUGAAGAAGAUUCUUGAAUUUUGAUUGAUUAUGGGAGAAGGCGUGGAAAAAAACUCUAAAAAUUAUGUACUGAUAUUGUAUAAUAUUUUCCAUCUAUAUUGUUAUGAUUAAAGUCCUAACAAGAAUGUGUAUGUUGUAUUUUUUUCUUCUCUAUUUUUUUAUUGUUUGUUUUUCUUUCUAUUAGACUACUUUAAUUCGAUUUUAUAUGAAUUUCUGAAUGUCGUAAAUAUGUAUUUUUAAUUGGUGACUUGAUUGAAAUUUUGCUAACUAGUAACUAAAAUUUAAAAUUUACCGUUACUAGCAUGAAAGGAAUUAAAUUUUAAACAAUAAAAUACGACCCUCAUUUAAUGUUCUUGUCACAAUACUUUUAAAUUAUUGUUUUUAUAAUUAUUGCAUUUUAUUACUCAUUAGAGGAAUAUUUUCACAAAAAUUACACAAGUGUAACUCAUAAACUAGUAUAUAUAUGUGGAUAAUGAUGAUUGAUUUGUAAGAACGAACAUUCUGUUAUUUGUUGAAUACAAUUUUUUUUUUAAAAAAAGAUGGGAAUUCUCUUUUUCUUUUAUUCACUUGUCUGUUUUUUGUUGGUAAUUAGUGAAAGCAUUUCUUCUUCCUCUGUGAUGAUGCAUCAUGUUUACUCUCCCACUGAAGCUUUUGCUUUGCUUCACUUCAAACAAUCCUUUCAAAUCUCUGACCAACCUAGCUGUUGGGAUGAGACUGAUCUGCAUUAUGAGAGAUAUUUUGAUAUCCCAAAAACAAAGUCUUGGAAUGAGAGUAGGGAUUGCUGCAGUUGGGACGGGGUCACUUGUGACAUGUUAACCGGUCAUGUUAUCGGAUUGGACCUUAGUUGCAGUUUGCUUUUGGGUACUAUUCAUCCCAAUAGCAGCCUCUUCCAACUCCAUCAUCUCCGGACACUAAACCUUGCUUGCAAUGACUUGUAUUCUUCUUCAAUCCCGCAUAACAUUGGCCGAUUGAGGAAUUUGAGGCAUCUCAACCUUUCUUAUUCUUUCUCUGGAGGGGAAAUCCCAACAGAAAUAUCAUACCUUUCCAAUUUGGUUUCACUUGACCUUUAUUGUUAUGAAUGUGAACUUGAUGAGAGAACAUUUGAAACAAUUCUUCAAAACUUCACAAAUCUGGAGGUAGUUUCUCUCUAUUGUGUCAACAUCUCAUCUUCAAUACCUGUGAAUAUUUCUUCGUCCUCGUUAAGGUACGUGAACCUUGUAAAUACUAAUCUGCGAGGUGUUAUCACAGAGAGCUUUUUCCUUCUGCCAAAUUUGGAAAGGCUCUAUUUGAGUUGGAAUGAUCUUCUCAAAGGAGUUUUACCAAAGAUCCACCCGAGCAACACUCUGUUGGAGUUGGAUAUUUCCUACACAGGAUCUCCGGUGAGCUGCCUGAUUCAAUUGGCACCUUGAGUUCAUUGAAUCUCUGAACAUGUAUAGAUGCCAAUUCUCUGGUUCCAUUCCUGAAUCCAUUGGCAAUCUUACACAAAUGCGGAAAUUGAAUUUUGGAAAUAAUCAUUUCACCGGCUAUAAUCCUUCCACAAUCUCUAAAUUGAAGCACCUCACAUCCCUAGACCUUUCGUCCAACUCCUUUUCAGGUGAAAUUCCCGAUAUUUUUUCUAACCUCCAAGAGCUAUGUUAUUUAUCUCUUUUUGACAACAGCUUCAUCGGUUCGUUUCCUUCUACAAUUGUAAGAUUGACACAACUUCAACACUUAGACUUGUCGCACAACUCACUGAAUGGUACCAUACCAUCUUCGGUCUUUAGCCUCCCUUUGCUAUCUUCAUUGUCGCUCCAACAUAAUCAAUUUAGUGGACUAGCCGAUGAGUUCAAAACAAACCCAACAUUAGAACACCUAGAUUUAAGCCAUAAUCAACUCAGUGGUUCUUUUCCUCAGUCACUUGCGAGUCUCACAAACCUUUCUACCCUCAUCCUUUCAUCAAAUAACAUCACCGUCAAUGAGGGAAUACAAAUCACUUUUCCUAGCCUAGAAGUUUUACAGUUAUCGUCUUGUGAACUGAAGGAUUUUCCACACUUCUUGACAAAUGUGAAGUCACUUAGGAUCUUGGAUAUUUCUAACAAUAAGGUUCGUGGCCAAAUCCCAAACUGGUUUAGCGGCAUGAGGUGGGACAACUUGUGGUACCUAAACCUUUCGCAUAAUUCUUUAACAGGCCACCUACAACUAUUUCAUUUCCAUAAUCUAGAGUAUCUUGAUCUUAAAUUUAACUCCCUUCAAGGUCCAAUACCUUCAUCCAUUUGUAACAUGAACGAUCUUCAAUUUCUACUUUUAUCACACAACGACUUCAGUAACUCGAUUCCAAGUUGCUUGGGAAGCAUGUCUAGUCUAACAGUGUUGGACUUAAGAAGGAACAAUUUCACUGGGAGUCUUCCAUCGUUAUGUGCGCAGAGCACUUCAUUGAGUACCAUUGUCUUGAAUGGUAAUCAAUUUAAAGGAACUCUCCCUGUGUCGUUGCUCAACUGCAGUGGUUUAGAAGUUCUUGAUUUGGGGAAUAACGCUAUAAAUGACACAUUUCCUGCUUGGCUAGGAACACUUCAACAACUGCAGGUCUUAAUAUUAAAGUCCAAUGUGUUCCAUGGACCAAUUAGUACUUGUCAGAGUAGGUUUUGCUUUCCCAAGUUGCGAAUUUUUGAUCUUUCGCAUAACAAAUUCAGUGGCUCUCUACCUGCAAAAGUUUUUGGAAACUUCAAGGCAAUGAUUAAAUUAGACGGUGAAGACACACGAGAGAUCAUGUACAUGAUGCCAUCUAUAAUGCCAUUUUACUCAUCAUCAUAUGAGGAUUCUGUGAGUUUGGUGAUCAAAGGGCAGGAUAUUGAGCUAGAAAGAAUCAGCACAAUUAUGACAACCAUAGACCUCUCGUGUAACCAUUUUGAAGGUGUCAUUCCGAAAACACUAAAGGAUCUCAGCUCACUUUGGCUACUCAAUUUAUCCCAUAACAAUCUCAUAGGUCAUAUUCCAAUGGAAUUGGGGAAAUUGAAUAAGCUUGAAGCAUUAGAUCUCUCUUGGAAUCGGCUCACUGGAAAGAUUCCGCAGGAAUUGACAAGGCUAACAUUUCUGGAAAAGUUAAACCUUUCUCAGAAUGUUCUCGUUGGACCAAUUCCUCACGUUCUACAAUUCAACACAUUUGUAAAAUAGACUCGUAUGGCGGUAACCUUGAUCUAUGUGGUCCUCCUUUAUCAAGCAAUGUGGAACGAAGUGAUCUAUCCCAUGUUCCUCAACCAUUGGAGUCUGAAGACGAGUCAUAUUUUUUUAGUGGAUUUACGUGGGAAUCAGUAGUCAUUGGCUACAGCUGUGGACUAGUUGUUGGAACUGUUGUGUGGAGCCUCAUGUUUAAAUAUCGUAAGCCCGAAUGGUUUGUCAAUUUUUUUGAAGGCAUUUAUCCCAAGAAAAUGAGAAUGUCAAUGAAGAGAGCUCAGAGACGACGGACUUAAUGGAAGAUUGCAGGAGUGGACUUUUCUGUUUUUUUAAUCUUCUUUUUGUUGUUUGUAUAUGCUUGAUAGCAAUAUAAUUGCAUGUAUUGUUUUGUGAAUUUCCACUGCAUUAAAAUUAGUGUUCUCCAAUCAAUAAUUCCUUUAGCAUAUAUAAAAAAAUUAAAACUCAAAAUAAGAACAAGAGGACAUAAAACAUAACUUUCCUUUGUACUAAAACAAUUUAUUCAAUUACAUUCUUGAGUUUAAGCAACUUCAACAUGUUUGAUAAUAUCAUCUGAUCAAAUAAUUUAUAUUAAAAAUGAUGGAUUUAAGAUCACUCAAAUCCUCUUAUAAAUUGAUUAUUGUAUAAUGGUGAUCCUCAUGCCUUCCCUUAAUUGAGAGAAUGAGCCAAAGUUGUCAUGACAUGAGCUUGAUCUGAAAUAAUUUGUGUAGUUGAAGGAUUUUGUCCCAAAACAAUAUAAUACAAUAACCAUCAUCAUAAUUAUCCAUUCCAUGUGCCAUUAGUUGCCAUACUAAACUUCCUCCCAUAUUGUUCCACCUUCUUUUGCCAAAUUAUACACAUUUCUAUAUACACUACUCAUAAAUAUAUCUCUUGAUCCUUGACCUCUACUAGACUUUCCAAAUUCAGCAAGCACUAAAGGUUUCUUUAAUAUAUUUCUUGCAUCUUCCCAAUGACUUGUUAUCCACUUUUCCAUCCACACCAAUUGUGCUUCAUCACUUUGUCCAGAUACCCUAUAACGAUCGCUAUAAAGAAAUAUUUAGACCUAUUUAAUGAAAACAUAUGAAAUUGUACGUAGAGAAAAGAUGUAAAAACUACCAUUGGUCAGUGUAUGCAUGGAUAGUAGCAAAAUCAAUCUCAUUGAUAAGAUGGUUACUAAUGAAAUCUGUUCCAACUUGAUAGCCAGGAUUAACUGAUUUUCUUUCAGGAAUUGAAUCACCAUAAAAUCCCUCCAUUCCAACCUCUAACAAGUGCUUGUUGUCUAAUGACUUCACAAAACUUGCCAUUUCUUGAACCCAAUAUUAGUCAUUUAACAAUAUUAGUCAAAAACGUCAAUCACAAAUUUGAUAUUUCUAAAAUUCAAUUAAUUAAACUUGAAUUGGGACUUACAUUAACAGUUUUUCCUGAAUAGUCAGCUUGAUCGCGAGGCUCAUUUAUGAGUUCCCAUGCCAUAAUUGUUGGAUCAUCUUUGUAAGCAACUUUAGUAAUACUAUUCAACCUUGUACCCACUUUCUGUAACAAUUUCAUAAUAUUAUUAAUAAAAAAAGUUGUUUAUAUGUAUUAAAUAAUAAUUACCCCAUAUAUUCCUCAAUAUGGUUCUUCAAGUAUUUUUUGAGCAUAGGAUGAGUAUAGAAUUCAUCGUCAUUACUAAUCUGAGCUCCUGCAUUUCGUGCCCACCAAACAUAUUGAGCUUUUCCUCCAAAAUCAUUCCAUUGAUUUACAAAGCUCAAGAUUAAAUGAACACCAUAUUUCUUAGCUUCCGCGAUCACAAAAUCCAAACCCUAAAUUUAGAACAAGUAUAUCUAAUCAAGGGACUGAUCACAUGCAUUACAACGCGAUAAUGUAAAAAAGUUAUCAAAACUAUAAUAACAAACGUCCUUUACCUGAAAAACACGUUCAUCAUAAACACCAGGUGAUAUUUGUAAUGCUCUAUCACCUCCAUCACUAAAAGCCCAAGUACGACAAACAGAAAGACCAGCGGUAGAAGCAUCUUUAAGAACCUCAGUGACUUUGUAUCUUUCAGUAGGGUCAGCAGAAACAUGCAUCAACCAAUAUGAGUUGAAACCAUUGAAUAGAAAAGGGGAUCCAUUGAGUUCAAAAUGAGAAUCUUUAACUCCUAUAACCCCGAAUUUGCUUCACAAGCAAGAGCUAAGAACAAGAGAAAGAGCCCAAAAAUGCAACUUCUUUUUGUAUAAGACAGUUUGUAUAAUGAAUUGUAGAAGAUAUAUGUGUGAUAUGUUAGAUGUCACCUUUUAUAGUGUGUUGAAGAUAAGGAAAUUUACUAAAAAUAGCAAAACUUGCAAAAACUAAAAAAAAUUCCUAGUGGAUAUAAUUGGAUAUUGAGAUUUUAUGAAAAAAUAUAUUUUUUAAGGCAGUUAUUUGGUUAAGAUAGAAACAGAGUUUUGUUGAAAAAUUUGUAUGGGAAGAAAAGAAGAAGAAAAAUAUGGAAACAUUAAUUGGUUAGUUUUUUUUAAGGUUUGUUCACUACUAGAUUUGAUGAUGAAAUAAUACUGAAACGUGUACUCAUAGUAUUUGAUAGUAAUAUACUUGAAUAUAUAAUGCAAAUACCUGAAGAACUCUUUCAUAAAUUUUAAUUUCUAUGUGGAUGUGUUAUGUGUGUAAUUUAAUCUUAUUUUAUUGCAAGGAAUUGAGACAAAAUAAAAAUAAAAAUAAAAAUAUUUUUAAAAAAAAGUUAAAAGAGAAAUGAAGAGGGCAUAACAUUAUUUGGGGUUAUUCGAAAUAAGAUGUUCUGACCACUUAUAAAAUGAAUAUGAAAAAAAUAACAUUUUAAAAUUUCUUAUGUCUAAAAAUUAAAAACUCUCGUAAAAAAUCAUAAAAUUAAAAUAAAAUAAAAUUGUAGUGGCCUACAAUUUACAGAAACUCAAUUUAUAUACUUGAUUAGAAUAUGGGUACUUUUAGUUCCAUUGUUUGAGAAGUGGAGAAAAGGAAUUUAGGAAGAUGCAUUCUUAAAGAAUAAGUGGAUUACUUAUUUAUUUUCUGACGUGAAUAAGUGAAUUUCUUACUUAUUUUUUGGUGUCAUAUUUAGGAUCUUUGAUGUUUAUUCUAUGCACAUUUGACAAAUUUCAUAGUCCAUAUGAGAGCGGCGACUAUCGCAUUGAGGACUAUAUGUCCCAAGUAUCGUUUUGGAUGAAGUAGUUACGAAUUUAAACUUAGAAUAUGCGAAUUUAAAAUAAGUGUGAUCUUAUUAUACAUGAAGGCGGAUGCAAUAAUUUAACUAUGAGUUCAGUCAAACUCAAUAUUUUUUUCACAUAACAUAUGUGUAGAAGUCAAAAAAACAAAAACAAAUAGAGAUUAUGUAUCCAUAAUUAAAAAGUACAAUUAGUUCAGUUUAAAUUCUAAAUUCAACCCAGAGUAUAUGUAUAUGGAGUGGAAGUUGAAAACAAUAUGUUCACUUCAACUCAGAACUCGCCCUGAAUCCGCCUCUGGAAGUAACCAAUUAUUCCAGGGCUAUGGAGGAAAAGUUGAAAAGAUUGUCCCCAAAAUACUAUUAUAUACCAAUAUAAAGUAAGAUUUGACUUAUACAGUAUAAUUUUCCGACGAAGAGUGCUCAGCUGACCACCCAGGAACCACCGUAGCUCUGCCCAUGGUCCUGAGAAGUAACCAUCUAUUCUAGGAGUUUGGAGGAAAAGUUAAAAACAUCAUCCCCGAAGCCUGGAUCAGUAAUAGUGAAAUCACAUGGCUGCUGCUGUUGCUGCAAAUUAUCAUCAGUGCAAAUACUGUAAUUCCCAAAUGGACUAGAUUGAAGUACAUUCUUCCACAUAUCACUAUUUUCUUGUUGUAUAUUACUAGUAUAUUUUGGUGUCGAUUCAUAAAAAUCGCUUCCAUCAAACAUCUUUAUUUGAGAAGUCUGGUGCACUAAGCUCUCGUUAUGUGUUCUAAAACAAAAAAAAUAAUUAGCUACGAGCUACUUCAUCCGUUCCUAUUUAGUUGUCCUGUUAGGCUAUUGUUUUACAGAAUUCUUAAGAAAAAAUUAGUUAGGAGUGUAAUUUGACUAAUAUAUAUCUUAUUAAUUUUUUAUCUUUAUUUAUUUCCAUAAAUAUCAUGUCAAGUCAAACGAUGCACCUAAAAUCGAACGAAAAGAGUACUUUUUUUUCUUGAUUUAUUGAAUUGAAAAAUAUUUAAAAAUAAUUAUUUUUAAUAUACACAACAACUAAACGAGACAGUAUUUAGCAAUGAACAAAUGACCAAAUUUGUAGCUAAUUUGGGGUCAUCAUUAGUGUUCAUAUCAGUCCAUUUAAGCUUAUCUUAGUUUUUAAUAAUAUAAGUACUUCAAAUACUCUAUAUCUUCGUGUAUAAAUCUCUUAACAAAAAAUAUAAUUUUCUAAUUAGGCAGCAUAAUUCACUAAGCAUUUCGAGUUCACACAGAAUUUGACAAAAAAUGACUCACUCCAACUCCUAAGUGGUGAGAUCUAAGCCACCUAUACCCUAAUACAAGGAUGUUCAUAAUACAAUUUUAUCGUAUCAUCAAAUUAAACAGUAUCACAUAAAAUAUAACGAAGAAAGUACUAAAAUUUGUAAUAAUUAUUUUACCUUUGUGUGUGAUUGAGCAAGGAAGUGCAAUUAGGACGAACAAAAGCAAGAGCAGCAGCAUCUCCAAAGGUAAAAUAAGAGGUGUCAAAUGGACGAGUCGAGAUGAAUUUUUGAAGAGUUUGUUGAGGAAGUAAGCAUUUUUUUGAUGCAGGACUAUUUAAUUCUUCAGGAGGAUGAGCAAAUGCUUUGUGAAAUAUAGCCAACAUUGUAUCUUUUUUUAGCUUCAAGAUGAAUAUCUAACAACAAUAUAAAAAAAAUGGUUACUGAAGGAGGAUAUAUAUAUAUAAUACACUUUUUACAUUAAUGUUUUUGUUUUUAUUUUUAUUUUUAUAGUAUAAUAAUAAUAAUAAAGGAGGCCAAAGAUGACAUAUGUCAAUUUUAUUUUGGAGUGAUAGUGUGACGUGACAAUGAUGAGGAUGGAUAAGGUUUCUCGUAUUCCCAUGAUGUCUUUAUCCAUUUAGAUUUUAUUAAGAAUUUUAAUAUGAAAUAAUCCAAACUAUAUUAAAUUGAAAAAAUAAUUAAAUCUAAAAAUAUCUCUCUUUAUCACAGUUUGAUUCAAAACUCAGUAUCACUAAUAGUUUAUCCAAAAAUGCUCUUUUCUUAUUUAAUGGAUUAUUUUUUUAAAAAAAAUAUGUAUAUAUAUUAUAUACUAUUAAACACAUUUUAUUUAUUAUAAAAUAAGUUAGUAAUAACUUUUUCUUAAGUCAAAAUAAAAAUAACAUGACUAAAUGUACCUUUUUUUUUUACUAAUAACAUAUAUAUUAUACAUUACAUUAUAUUAUAUCAUAUAUUAUAUUAAAUUAAAUUAAAUUAUAUUAUACAUUAGUAUAAGAGGCUAGAACACACAUGUUGACGAUGACAUGUGUGUUUCUUGGAAUUAAAUUUCUUAUUGAAGGGCAUUCUUGUAAUAUAGUAUUAAAAGAAUUUUAAUAAUUUUCAUAUAUUUAGAAAUUAUGUAAUUAAUAUUAUUAAUUAUAAUAAUUAGUAAUUUUUAAAAAAUAUAAAAAAAAUAUCAGUCAACUCUCAAAUUUUAUUGGUGUCACAUAAAUUGGGAUAAUAGAGUAAAAUUAUUUUUAAUAAUUUAUAUAUUUACAAAUUUUAUAAACUAUAAAUUGCAAUAUAAAUGUCUCUAAAUUUUUUUUUCGAUGAUUAAUAUAUUGUAUAGAAAUUCACAUUAUUUUUUAUUCCUUAUCUGUUUAGUUAUUAUUUAUUUCUCCAAAUAUUUUAUUUCUGAUUAUAGUUUUCUUUUUGUUAAGCUUUAUGUCAGCUGUGGAGGCGAGCCGAAUUAUUUUUUUCUAUAAAAAGGAAGAAAUUGAGCUUAAAACCACUUGAAGUGGGGCCAACAAGCUUUAACAAAUCUGUGGGUGCUUAUAAAAUGUUUAGCGGUCUAUAUUCAAAAUUAGAGGAUAUAAAUAUCAGCUGAAAUUAAAUUAAAUGAUAUUCAUUAUGUCUUUAAUUUAACACUAUUUUAUCCAUUCCAUAUUAGAUAAACACUUUCUAUACUAUAUAGUGAUUAAGAAAUCAUUAAUAAAUUGAUCAACUUUACUAUUUUAUCCUUUAUUCAUAUCAAUUCCUAUCAAAAUAAGUUAGAAAAAACCAUACAAAGAGUAUAGAAAUAACUAGUAUUGAGAAUUGUUCACAUUCAAAAGGCCAUAUUGAUUGUAAUUUGUAGUAAGUGAUUAAGUAAUAUAAGAUAACUAUUUUUAAUAAGAUCCUUAAUAAAAUCGGUUAUUAUUGAUAUCUUCUUUUCGGUUCCUUUUCCAUAAGUCCAUAACCAUUGCUCAGAAAAGAAAGAGAUAAGAAGACUAUGAAAAAUAUGCUCAGAAAUCCAUAAUACAAUCGGCCCAUAACGAUCAAAUUGAUUAUCUUCAUACUCAAAUCGAAGGAGUAUGAAAUUAAAAUAAUAUAUUUUUAAUUUCGAUUUACGUGACAUUGUUUAACUCAAUGUGAUUUUGAAAAAUAGAUUCUUUUUGUGAUCUAAUCAAUCAAUUGUAUGGAUUUAAAAAAUAGUUAAUAUUUGAAAUUUUGCAUGUGCCACAUAAAUUAGAACAAAGAGAGUAAUAAAUAUUAUUUUCAAAAUUCUGUAAAAAAAGGUACUACAAAUCACAAUAGCUAACAAUUUAAAAUAUUUUUACAAUCAUAUAAAAAUUUCAAUAACUUCUCAAAUUUCAUAAUAUAUGACAUAAGAAGAGGGAAUAACCAAUAUAUUUAUAAAAAUAAAUGACAUAUAAAAUGAAAUGGAGAGAGUAUUAGUUUUUGAAAAUGGAAAAGGACAAAACACAUAUAAAAUUAAAACACAUAUAAAAAACAAGUUGGUUUAACUCUCAAACAUAAAAAGUAACAUAUGUUAUUAAAAACUUUAAUAAAAAGUACUAUAAUUUACAAUAAAUAAUAACUUAAAAUAUCUACAAGAGAACAAAAAAAAGACUAAUUUUUGUACUGCUUGUGUCACAUAUAUUAGGAUUGGGAUGAUUUUAAAAUUUUAAUUUUGGUUAUACAUUAUAAAAUAGCCGAAAAAUUGAAUGAUAUAAUUUUUUUUAAAAUAACCGAAUGAAUCGUCCUAUCGAUAACCCUAAUGUUACUUCUACUCUGUUUAUUUUUACUUAAAUUUAGAAAGAUAUGCUUCAUUUCUACCCUCAAUCUUAUCGCUACAUUUAUUUGCUAUUUAAAAUUGAAAUUAAAAAGACAAAUGACAAAUAAGUUUCUAUAUUAGCUCACUUAUGAGCAAAAUAUAUUAUAACAAUCUUUACUAAUUUUAUAACAAUACAUAAACUAUACUCCCUCCGUCCCAUAUUAGAUGGGCACUUCCAACUUUACACGGUGAUUAAGAAAUCAUUAAUACAUUGGAAGACUUCACCAUUUUGCCCUUUCUUUAUAUCAAUGCACAUUGAAAUGAGUUACAAAAAAUACACAUACAAUAUAGGAAUGGUCAUAUUAAUUGUAGGGGUAAAAUGGAAAAGAAUUAAUUAAUUCUAUCCUAAUUUAAUAAGUGCUCAAAUAAUAUGAAAAAUAAAAAUUUAGUAAGAUUCUCAUCUAAUAUGGGACGGAGAGAGUAUUAGUUUUUGAAAAUGGAAAAGGACAAAACACAUAUAAAAUUAAAACACAUAUAAAAAACAAGUUGGUUUAACUCUCAAACAUAAAAAGUAACAUAUGUUAUUAAAAACUUUAAUAAAAAGUACUAUAAUUUACAAUAAAUAAUAACUUAAAAUAUCUACAAGACAACAAAAAAAAGACUAAUUUUUGUACUGCUUGUGUCACAUAUAUUAGGAUUGGAUGAUUUUAAAAUUUUAAUUUUGGUUAUACAUUAUAAAAUAGCCGAAAAAUUGAAUGAUAUAAUUUUUUUUAAAGUAACCGAAUGAAUCGUCCUAUCGAUAACCCUAAUGUUUCUUCUACUCUGUUUAUUUUUACUUAAAUUUAGAAAGAUAUGCUUCAUUUCUACCCUCAAUCUUAUCGCUACAUUUAUUUGCUAUUUAAAAUUGAAAUUAAAAAGACAAAUGACAAAUAAGUUUCUAUAUUAGCUCACUUAUGAGCAAAAUAUAUUAUAACAAUCUUUACUAAUUUUAUAACAAUACAUAAACUAUACUCCCUCCGUCCCAUAUUAGAUGGGCACUUCCAACUUUACACGGUGAUUAAGAAAUCAUUAAUACAUUGGAAGACUUCACCAUUUUGCCCUUUGUUUAUAUCAAUGCACAUUGAAAUGAGUUACAAAAAAUACACAUACAAUAUAGGAAGGGUCAUAUUAAUUGUAGGGUAAAAUGAAAAAGAAUUAAUUAAUUCUAUCCUAAUUUAAUAAGUGCUCAAAUAAUAUGAAAAAAUUUAUUUUAGUAAAAUUCUCAUCUAAUAUGGGACGGAGAGAGUAACAAUAUAACUUUAUUAAUGUUGGGCCCGGGCAGCGCCCGGGCUUUCUUUACUAGUAUAUAUAUAUAAAAUAAUGUAGUAGUAGUCUGUUAAAGACAGCUAACGUCAAGAUUGACUAGUGUUGAAAAUGCUAACGUAGGAGCCUGCGUCAUUUAUAUUCUUUGGACCCAUUUUUUAAUGAAUUAAUGAUUGGCUGCACUAUUAUAUAUAUUGAGGAUUUUUGCAUAUAUUAAAUUAGGAAAAACAGACAAAUAAUGGAAACUGAAGAAAAUAUUGUAAUUGUUGGUGCUGGCAUAGCUGGUCUUGCUACUUCUUUGGCCCUUCACAGGUAAUAAUGGUUGCUUCCUUCGUCUCAGUUUAUGUGAUAGUUUUCGAUUUUUAAAAGUCAAAUAAUUUAAGUUUGAUUGAAAAUUUGUGUAUGAAAUCCCCUACCGUAAAAAGUACUAUAAAUCACAAUACUUGAUAAUUCAAAAUGUUUAAAAGAUCUAUGAAAAACUUAUGGUUAAAGAUACUCUUGUUUGAAUCUCGAAAUAUGAAAAGUGCCACGUAAAAUAGGAUAGGGAUAGUAUUAUAUUUCGUGUAUAUACUUGUUCAAUAAUCACAUGAUCUACUUCCAAAAGUUUGAUUUCUCAUAUCAUAAUACAAAAAUAUGCCUUGAUCUCAUGAACAUUUAUGCUCUUCAAUUUUGGAUGUGCAUAAGCAAACAUUUAAACUAUCUAUAAGUUAAAUAAGUAGACACACGUCCUAUGUGACAUAAUACACAUAGGAUGCAGAACUGCCACGUAGGAUGCCACACGGGACACGGGCGUUUACUUGUUCAACUUUUGAAUAGUUUAAGUUGUCUAUUUGUACACACUCAAAGUUGGAGGACAUAGAUGCUAGUUUGGGUCAGGUUAGAUGAUACAUUUAUGCAUUAGGCCUUUCUAGAAUAUGAUUUUUCUGGUAUAAUAGCUAUUAGUUGAGUGACGAUUUGAGAAAUAACUCGGCGGAAGGCGUGUCUUGUAUGUAAUAUGUAGGUUGGGGCUGCGGAGUAUUGUGUUGGAAUCAACAGAUUCGUUGCGAGCUACUGGAUUUGCAUUGGCGUUGUGGACUAAUGCCUGGAGAGCUUUGGAUGCAUUGGACAUUGGGGACUCUCUUAGACAACGUUCCUUAUCCAUUACUGGGUAUACCUCUUUAUUAUUAGUUAGGAUUUAGGAUUACUAACAACUUGAAGUUCAAUUUCGGAUUUUUAUGGUCAAAUGUGUUUUCCGGAGUUCUAGAUAUGGAAGAAAGUUGAAAAAUUGAUUGUCCAAAAUGCGUUCGAGUUGAUGUGCAGGCUUAAAAGUUUCUCAGCGGAUUCAGGUGCACCUAUCAAGGAGGUAUCAUUUGUGGGGAAUAACAGGUUAGCAUUAUAUCAAUUUUCGUAUUAGUUGGGGUCGGUUAUAUAAGUCCUUUUAUCUAUUCAUUUUAUGUAUGUUCAUUUUGUUCUAAAACAUAAUAAUUUAGUUUGAGAGACAAAUUCGAAAUUUCUCUAAAAUUAGAGGUUCUUUGAGUAUUGCAAUCUAUAUAGAGAUGUAUAAAUUUCUAACCAUCGAUAUAAAGACUCCUCACAAAGGUCGAAGUAAUGCAAGUACUGGUAAGAACAGCUAAUGUAUUUAACUUCUGGUUCUCACAGCAUCGAUCUUUGUAGAGAACAAUCACAUCUGUUUACGAAGGACUUAAGUGUGAAUCAAGGAUGCUGCAUACCGAAUUUUCUGAAUUGUUCACUAGUACUGAAUUGAUGUGGUUUUGUAUGUCUUUCUUCUGACUAUUGGAUGGACUGAUCAUUCGUCAGCCAACAUUUCUCUUUUUGAAGUCAAUAGUCAUCUAAGGUCAGUUAUAUUACGUUGCAGUGUGGAGUAUGAAAGUCGUUGUGUGAGAAGAAAAGAUCUGUUGGAGACAUUAGCUAAUGAACUGCCUCAAGGUGUGAUUAGAUAUUCUUCCAAAGUCGAUUCCAUUGAAGAAUCUGGACCAUUGAAAUUGGUACAUCUUGCAGAUGGUUCCACUAUUAGAACCAAGGUAAAUCUUUCUCUGAAAUUCUUAACUUGGAAUCCCUAUUAUUGGAAACUUCAACCAACGUGAUAAUUCAAACGUGUAUUUGACCAUUUAUCUCAAUUCCUUUCGUUAGUCUAGCUAGUACGUGACUAACUUUGUUAAGCUUCAAUUAAGGCCUUAAUUGGGUGUGACGGAGUCAAUUCUGUGGUGGCAAACUGGCUUGGGCUUCAGAAACCUGUCUAUUCUGGGCGCUCUGCAAUUAGAGGCUUUGUUGAGUAUCCGGAAAAACAUGGUUAUCAGCCUAAGUUCCACGCGUAUUUUGGAGGUGGAGUUCGGUUUGGAUUUCUUCCUAGUGAUGAGAAGAGUUUGUACUGGUUUUGCACAUUCACACCAUCUGUUGUUCAUUGUAAGCCAGCACCUACAUACUGUUUCUUUUGAAGAUUUACUUUUCGAAGGAUAUUUUUGUUGGCUAGAGAGCUUACCUCUCUGAAAGGGGAGCCUUGACGUAAUUGGUAAAGUUAUUGUCACGUGACCUAGAGGUUGCGGAUUUGAGCUGUGGAAACAGCCUCUUGCAGAAAUGCAGGGUAAGACUGCGUAUAAUAGACCCCUGUGGUCCAGACCUUCCCCGAACCCUGUACAUAGUGGGAGCUUAGUGCACCGAGCAGCCCAGAUAGCUUACAUUUCAUAAACUAGUCAUGUUUAGUUGUUCAUUUUAAUUGGGAUUUUAUGCAGUUGAUGGAAAUGCAGAACAAGAUCCAAUGAAAUUGAAGCAAUUCGUGUUGAACAAGGCUAGUAAUGUGUCUAAAGAACUCUCCACCGUUAUAGAGAGAACAACGCUCGACUGUAUAUCUGUCGCUCAGCUGAAAUUGAGAUUGCCAUGGAAUGUUCUGUUUGGGAAUAUUUUGAAAAAUAAUGUUUGCGUGGUAGGUGAUGCACUUCAUCCCAUGACUCCUGAUCUUGGUCAAGGUGGAUGUUCGGCUGUAGAGGACAGUGUUGUUAUCGCAAAGUGCCUUGGAGAAGCCUUGAUAAAACCGAUAACAGAACAAGAAGACGAUGAAUCUAUGAAUAUUAGGAAAGGACUCGAGAAGUAUGCUAAAGAGAGAAGAUGGAGAAGUUUUACAUUUAUCAGUGCUGCUUAUUUAUCUGGUUUCAUACAAGAGAGUGAUAACAAGAUAAUCAGUUUCUUAAGACAACAUUUUUUGGCUGGAGUCACUAUAUCAGUUACACUAAGAAUAGCUAACUUUGACUGCGGAAGACUAGCUGUUUCGUAGUAGCUCAGUUGGUUGGCUAUCUAAACUUUUACGUUAUUGGUGAGUGUUCGAUUCUCCACCUUGUAAUCACCUCUCCCUACUCCCCAUUUGCCUUUUUUUAUUUCUUUUUCAAAAAGCACAUCCCUUGAACCUCUAUGGUAGUAAUAAACAUGCAUGUCAAUUGCUUGAUUCACUCUCCACGCUUUUGAUGUUGUGAUCCCAUUCUUCUGAUUGAAAUAAUGUAAAAUGAACAAGAACUUAAAAUUGCCUAAUUAAGUAAGAGUUGAUUUUAGUUAGGCAGCACAACCCAAAUUAAUUUUACAUUUUGACAACUAAUUAAUCUCUACCAUGUGACAUGUUUAAGACUAUACCAUUUAUUCGACCUAAAUGGUAAGUAUGAUUCUCCUGUCUUCCAGUUGAAUGCAAAGCAAUCAACGAUAGGUUUGAGUAUCCAAAUUUAACUUAUAUAUACUAAGUCCACCUGGCUGAUCACACAUAAAGUCCACUAUCAGUAUAAUAGGUGACAAGUUGUUUGCCUUGAUUUCACAAAGAGUCACCCAUAAUUACUUUUACACAACUCGAUAAGUGAAAAAAUAUUAUUAUUAAUUUACAGUGAUUUUAAAGUUUUUUGUCCUGUCCACCUGGCUGAUCACACAUAAUAACACAGGCAGAUCUAGUGAAGAAGCUAUGAGUUCAUUCGAAUUCAAUAGCUUUGGUUUAGAUUCCUUAUGUGCGUUAAAAAGAAGAAGGUAGAGUAGUAUUGUUAUUAAAGGAAUAAAUGAAUUAUACAUUUUUCGACUUUCCAAGAUUAUCUUAGAUUAAGAAAUUCCCAAAUAAAUGGUUGUAGUGUUAUCAUAUUGUAAGUAUAUAUUUAAAGGUAGGGUAAGAUCCAUAUACACACACUACUCUUCCCUGACCGCACUUGUGGAAUUACACUAGGUAAGUUGUUGUAGCUGUUCGUGUGAUUUAGUUGUUGUGAACGACUAUAAAAGUUGGUUGUUAUGUGUACAUACUUGACACUACCCUUUUUUGUUAUGUGUAACACAUGUUUCUGUCUUUUAUGUCAGGAAAGUUGGUUCAUUGUAUGUCUCAAGUUCACAUUUCUGCUUUCUCUGUCGACCACUAGUUUUUUAGAAGAUUUUUCUGCAGUGUGUGUUACACAUGGUGUAAUCUUCAACACUGAUAUGGUGUGUGUAUAUAUAUAUUAGUAUAUGAUGAUUGAUUUUGCAAGAACAUCUUAUUAUUUGCUGAAAAUAAGCAAAAGAAGAUGGGACGUCUCUUUUUCUUUCAUUCACUUGUCUGUUUUUUGUUGGUAAUUAGUGAAAGCAUUUCUUCUUCCUCUGUGAUGAUGCAUCAUGUUUGCUCUCCCACUGAAGCUUUUGCUUUGCUUCACUUCAAACAAUCCUUUCGAAUCUCUGACCAACCUAGCUGUUGGGUUGAGACUCAUCUGCAAUAUGAGAGCUAUGAUAUCCCAAAAACAAAAUCUUGGAAUGAGAGUAGGGAUUGCUGCAGUUGGGACGGCGUAACUUGUGACAUGUUAACCAGUCAUGUUAUCGGAUUGGACCUUAGUUGCAGUCUGCUUAAUGGAGCUGUUCAUCCCAAUAGCAGCCUCUUCCAACUCCAUCAUCUCCGGACACUAAACCUUGCUUACAAUGACUUCAAUUCUUCUUCAAUCCCACAUAACAUUGGCCGAUUGAUGAAUUUGAGGCAUCUCAACCUUUCUCAUUCUUUCUUUGAAGGGGAAAUCCCAACAGAAAUCUCAUACCUUUCCAAUUUGGUUUCACUUGAUCUUUAUUGUGAUUACUGUGGUCUCCAACUUGAUGAGAGAACAUUUGAAACAAUGCUUCAGAACUUCACAAAUCUAGAGGUACUAUCUCUCCAUGGUGUCAACAUCUCAUCUCCAUUACCUGUGAAUAUUUCUUCUUCCUCCUUAAGGUACGUGGAUCUUGAACGUACUAAUCUGCGAGGUGUUCUCACAGAGAGCUUUUUCCUUCUGCCAAAAUUGGAAAUGCUCUAUUUGAAUUACAAUGAUCUUCUCAAAGGAGUUUUACCAAAGAUCCACCCGAGCAACACUCUGUUGGAGUUGGAUAUUUCCUACACAGGAAUCUCCGGUGAGCUGCCUGAUUCCAUUGGCAAUCUUACACAAAUUAGGUAUUUGGAUUUCAGUAAUAAUCAUUUCACCGGCCAUAUUCCUUCCACAAUCUCUAAAUUGAAGCACCUCAGAUAUCUAAAGUUUUCGUCCAACUCCUUUCCAGGUGAAAUUCCCAAUAUUUUUUCUAACCUCAGAGAGCUACGUUAUUUAUAUCUUUAUAGAAAUAGUUUCAUCGGUUCGUUUCCUUCUACAAUUGUAAGCUUGACACAUCUUCAAGAGUUAGACUUGUCAAGUAAUUCCCUAUCUGGCCCACUGCCUAAUAAUUUUAGCAUGCUUCAAAGGCUAACCCAACUGGAAUUGUCGUACAACGCACUGAAUGGUACCAUACCAUCUUCGGUCUUUAGCCUCCCUUUGCUAUCUUCAUUGUCGCUCCAACAUAAUCAAUUUAGUGGACUACCCGAUGAGUUCAAAACAAACCCAACAUUAGAACACCUAGAUUUAAGCCAUAAUCAACUCAGUGGUUCUUUUCCUCAGUCACUUGCGAGUCUCACAAACCUUUCUACCCUCAUCCUUUCAUCAAAUAACAUCACCGUCGAUGAGGGAAUACAAAUCACUUUUCCUAGCCUAGAAGAUUUGCGGUUAUCAUCUUGUGAACUGAAGGAUUUUCCACACUUCUUGACAAAUGUAAAGAAACUUCAUGUCUUGGAUAUUUCUAACAAUAAGAUUCAUGGCCAAAUCCCAAACUGGUUUAGCGGCAUAAGGUGGGACGACUUGUACUACCUGAAUCUUUCGCAUAAUUCUUUAACAGGCCACCUACAACAAUUUCAUUUCCAUAAUCUAUGGUAUCUUGAUCUUAAAUUUAACUCCCUUCAGGGUCCACUACCUUCAUCCAUUUGUAACAUGAACAAUCUUCAAUUUCUAGAUUUAUCACGCAACGACUUCAGUAACUCGAUUCCAAGUUGCUUGGGAAGCAUGUCUAGUCUAACAGUGUUGAACUUAAGAAGGAACAAUUUCACUGGGAGUCUUCCAUCGUUAUGUGCGCAGAGCACUUCAUUGAGAACCAUUGUCUUGAAUGGUAAUCAAUUUAAAGGAACUCUCCCUGUGUCGUUGCUCAACUGUAGUGAUUUAGAAGUUCUUGAUAUGGGGAAUAACGCUAUAAAUGACACAUUUCCAGCUUGGCUAGGAACACUUCAACAACUGCAGGUCUUAAUAUUAAAGUCCAAUUGUGUUCCAUGGACCAAUUAGUACUUGUCAGACUACGUUUUGCUUUCCCAAGUUGCGAAUUUUUGAUCUUUCGCGUAACAAAUUCAGUGGCUCACUCCCUGCAAAAGUUUUUGGAAACUUCAAGGCAAUGAUUAAAUUAGAUGGUGAAGACACAGGAGAGAUCGAGUACAUGGAAGCAUCUAUGAUGUCAUAUGAUGAUUCUGUGAAUUUGGUGAUCAAAGGGCAGGAUAUUGAGCUAGAAAGAAUCAGCACAAUUAUGACAACCAUAGACCUCUCGUGUAACCAUUUUGAAGGUGUCAUUCCGAAAACACUAAAGGAUCUCAGCUCACUUUGGCUACUCAAUUUAUCCCAUAACAAUCUCAUAGGUCAUAUUCCAAUGGAAUUGGGGAAAUUGAAUAAGCUUGAAGCAUUAGAUCUCUCUUGGAAUCGGCUCACUGGAAAGAUUCCGCAGGAAUUGACAAGGCUAACAUUCUGAAAGUAAACCUUUCUCAGAAUGUUCUCGUUGGACCAAUUCCUCACGUUCUACAAUUCAACACAUUUGAAAAUGACUCGUAUGGCGGUAACCUUGAUCUAUGUGGUCCUCCUUUAUCAAAGCAAUGUGGAACGAGUGCUCUAUCCCAUGUUCCUCAACCAUUGGAGUCUGAAGACGAGUCAUAUUUUUUAGUGGAUUUACGUGGGAAUCAGUAGUCAUUGGCUACAGCUGUGGACUAGUUGUUGGAACUGUUGUGUGGAGCCUCAUGUUUAAAUAUCGUAAGCCAGAAUGGUUUGUCGAAUUUUUGAAGGCAUUUAUCCCAAGAAAAUGAGAAGGUCAAUGAAGAGAGCUCAGAGACGACGGACUUAAUAGAAGAUUGCAGGAGUGGACUUUUCUGUUUUUUUAAUUUUCUUUCUGUUGUUUGUAUAUGAUAGCAAUAUAAUUGCAUGUGUUAUUUUGUGAAUUUCCACUGGAUUAAAUUAGUGUUCUUGAUCUUUGCUUUCAAACUAAAAAUUAAACUCAAAAUAAAAACAAGAGGACAUAAAACAUAACUUUCCUUUUUACUAAAACAAUUUAUUCAAUUACAUUCUUGAGUUUAAUUAAUCAACUUCAACAUGUUUGGUAAUAUCAUCUCAACUAAUUAAUAUUAAAAAUGAUGGAUUUAAGAUCAUUCAAAUCCUCUUAUAAAUUGAUUAUUGUAUAAUGGUGAUCCUCAUGUCUUUUCACUCAAUUGAAAGAAUGUGCCAAAGCUGUCAAGACAUGAGCUUGAUCUGAAAUAAUUUGUGUAGUUGAAGGAUUUUGUCCCAAAACAAUACAAUAACCAUCAUCAUAAUUCUCCAUUCCAUGUGCCAUUAGUUGCCAUACUAAACUUCCUGCCAUUGUUCCACCUUCUUUUGCCAAAUUAUACACAUUUCUAUAUACACUACUCAUAAAUAUAUCUCUUGAUCCUUGACCUCUACUAGACUUUCCAAAUUCAGCAAGCACUAAAGGUUUCUUUUAUAUAUUUCUUGCAUCUUCCCAAUGACUUGUUAUCCACUUUUCCAUCCACACCAAUUGUGCAUCAUCACUUUGUCCGGACACCCUAUAACAACGAUCGAUAUAAAGAAAUAUUUAGACCUAUUUAAUGAAAACAUAUGAAAUUGUACGUAGGGAAAAGAUAUAAAAACUACCAUUGGUCAGUGUAUGCAUGGAUAGUCGCAAAGUCAAUUUCAUUGAUAAGAUGGUUACUAAUGAAAUAUGUUCCAACUUGAUAACCAGGAUUAACUGACUUCCUUUCAGGAAUUGAAUCACCAUAAAAUCCCUCCAUUCCAACCUCUAACAAGUGUUUGUUGUCUAAUGACUUCACAAAACUUGCCAUUUCUUGAACCCAAGCUUAUAACAAUAUUUGUCAAAAACGUCAAUCAUAGAUUUGAUAUUUCUAAAAUUCAACUUGAAUUGGGACUUACAUUAACAGUUUUUCCUGAAUAGUCAGCUUGAUCGCAUGGUUCAUUCAUGAGUUCCCAUGCCAUAAUUGUUGGAUCAUCUUUGUAAGCAACUUUAGUAAUACUAUUCAACCUUGUAACCACUUUCUGUAACAAUUUCAUAAUAUUAUUAAUAAAAAAUGUUGUUUAUAUGUAUUAAAUAAUAAUUACCCCAUAUAUACCUCAAUAUGGUUCUUCAAGUAUUUUUUGAGCAUAGGAUGAGUAUAGAAUUCAUCGUCAUUACUAAUCUGAGCGCCUGCAUUUCGUGCCCACCAAACAUAUUGAGUUUUUCCUCCAAAAUUGUUUCAUUGAUUUACAAAGCUCAAUAUUAAAGGAACACCAUAUUUCUUAGCUUCCGCGAUCACAAAAUCCAAACCGUAAAUUCUUAAGAAAAAACAGUUAGCUACGAGCUACUCCAUCUGCUCCUAUUUAGUUGUCAUGUUAGGCUAUUGUUUUACACAACUCUUAAGAAAAUAUUAGUUAGGAGUGUAAUUUGACUAAUAUAUCUUUUUUUUUUAGUCUUUAUUUAUUUCUCUUCUCUAAAUUCGAAAAUAAAUACUUUUCUUUUUAAUCCGUCCCAAAAAGAAUGUUACUUUACUAGAAAUAAUUUAACUUUAAAAUACCAUUUUUACCCCUAAUGAAAUGAUUUUCAACACCAGAAAUAUCUAAAAAUUAUUUUAGACCACAAAUGUAACAUCCGACAAUUUAAAAUGAAUAUGAAGAAGCUUGAAAUUGGAAGUAGUCAUUUUUUUGAAAAAUUCAGAAUCUGGAAAUUUGGCUAAAUUCAAAAUCUGGAAAUUUGGCUAAGUGUGGAAAUCAGUGAGUUUUUGGCCAACUUGGAGUAGUCAUAAAUCCUAGCUCAAGCUGAGCCAAAAGUAGUUCCAGUUAUGUUUGGAAAGCCCUUGGAAUGAUCUUUCCAACGCCACCGAGUUUGCUCGAUUCCGAGUUCGUAUGAGCGAGUUAUGCCCUUUGAAAGUUGGGCAGUUGGCGGGGAGUCCAUCCGGAAAUUUAAGGGCAUUUUGGUCUUUUCACAAAUCAUUUCUUUUGAGGUUAUAUUGUUGUGUUAGGCUGAUUGUGGAUCAUUUUUGUUCCAUUUUAAAAAGAGUAAAAGUUAGGGUUCUUGAGUGAAGAAGAGAAGAAGAGAGAAAGAAGAAAAGAAGAAGAGGAGAUCAAGGAGAUUCGUCAAGAUCAUCGUGGAUUUUCGUCGGGGGUGAUCCCUAUCAAAGUAUGUGAGUCUUUAGUGUGGGUUGAUCCUUUCCCCCCACACACCAAGCUCAUUUUUAUGAUUUGAGAAAAGAUUGGAUUUGUUGUUGAAGUUGUUGAAGUUGUUAGUUGUGUUGUGGAAGUUAUUGUUGGUUGUGGGACAUGAUUUGGUUGUGUUCUUAAGUUGAAUCUCUUGUAUGUUGAGGGAUUUUAUCAUCCUUAGUAUUGGUUGGUUCAUACCUCCACACACCAACUCGUUUUUAAUUCCAAGAAAAGAUUUAUUUUGGUUGUUGAAGUUGUUGGUUGUGUUGUUGAAGUUCUUGCUGAUUUGGGACAGGAUUUGGUUUGUGUUUUUGAGUGGAAUUCACUGUAUGUUGAGGGGUUUAUGACCCCAAGUGUUUGGGAAAAAAACCUUUGAAGUUAAGAGGGUUUAGAGUUGGCAACAUGAAGGAGAAAAGUCAGGCUGCUUUCAGGAAACAAGUCUGCGUUGCAGCUGUGUUCCCUCUGUGAACAGAAUCUGAUCUGUUUUCAGAAUUUAAUUUCGAAAUUCUUCUUAAGUUUAGCUGUCCUAAAUUAUUCCUAAUCAUCAUGGGGUCCUUCCAAACACAAAUCAUUACUCUUGAAUUCAUAAUCCAAUUCAAGGAGAGUUAGUUCCAAGUCAAGUAAAGUUAGAAGUCAAGUGAUGUUAAGAGUUAAGCUUAGAAGUGAAGUAAGUCAAAUCAAGUUUUCAAAGUUGUUCAAGAGUCUUUAGUGAAUGUUUUAGCUUCAUUUUUUAAGACUCGAGUUUUCAAGUCAAGUCAAAAGUAUUGAGUUUCAAGUCAAGUCAAAAGUUAAGAGUUUCAUGUUAAGUUAAGAGUUUCACAUCAAGCCAAGAGUACAAGUAAAGUAAAGAGUUUUAAGUUGAGUUCAUUUCUCAAAGUUAUUAGGGAACUAUGUAUUCCCAAAGAAGUUUUAAAGAAAUGUCUUUACAUUUNNNNNNNNNNNNNNNNNNNNNNNNNNNNNNNNNNNNNNNNNNNNNNNNNNNNNNNNNNNNNNNNNNNNNNNNNNNNNNNNNNNNNNNNNNNNNNNNNNNNNNNNNNNNNNNNNNNNNNNNNNNNNNNNNNNNNNNNNNNNNNNNNNNNNNNNNNNNNNNNNNNNNNNNNNNNNNNNNNNNNNNNNNNNNNNNNNNNNNNNNNNNNNNNNNNNNNNNNNNNNNNNNNNNNNNNNNNNNNNNNNNNNNNNNNNNNNNNNNNNNNNNNNNNNNNNNNNNNNNNNNNNNNNNNNNNNNNNNNNNNNNNNNNNNNNNNNNNNNNNNNNNNNNNNNNNNNNNNNNNNNNNNNNNNNNNNNNNNNNNNNNNNNNNNNNNNNNNNNNNNNNNNNNNNNNNNNNNNNNNNNNNNNNNNNNNNNNNNNNNNNNNNNNNNNNNNNNNNNNNNNNNNNNNNNNNNNNNNNNNNNNNNNNNNNNNNNNNNNNNNNNNNNNNNNNNNNNNNNNNNNCCCGGAUCAGCAUCCUGCACGUCGUUGAUCCAGCUGAGCACUCCAGAGUCAGUGGUGAGCCUCCUUGCAUUCCGGAGGACUCAAUUAUUUUGUGUUCUUAGUUUUUGUUUUAUUAGGAUGUUGCGGGGUCUGUCCCAACAUCCAUCUCAGUAUUUUAGAGGCUUCAUAGACAGACAAUCAGUCAGUUAGUUUUGAGUCUCUUAUCUAUGUAUAUAUGUAAAUAUUCUAUUUUGAGAUUCGAGUUGCCUUUAUGGCCAUAUUUUAUAAGUUAAGUUGUUUUGUAAUAUUGCAUUGCAUUGAGUUAUUCUGUUGGGUUAGGUUUCCGCUGAGUUAAGAAAGCCAGGCCAAGGGUUCGCUUGGGGCCAGAAAUGGUCUCCGGGUGCCGGUCCCGCCCAGGGUGUAGGCUCGGGGCGUGACAACAAAUUUCAAUAGUCUUCAUUUUUUUUCUUAAAUGUCAUUUCAAAUCAAACAGUUUCACAUAAAAUCAAACGAAAAGAGUACUUUUUUUCUUGAUUCAUUAAAUUGAAAAAUAUUUUAAAAUAAUUAUUUUUAAUAUACACGACAACUAAACGAGACGAUGUAUUUAGCAAUGAACAAGUGACCAAAUUUGUAGCUAAUUUGGGGUCAUCAUUAGUGUUCAUAUCAGUCCAUUAAUUAAGCUUGUCUUAGUUUUUAGUAAUAAUAUAAGUACUUGAAAUACUCUUGAAAUAUACACGAAGGUGUAUAAAUCUCUAACAAAAUAUAUAAUCUACUAAUUAGGCAGCAUAAUUCAUUAAGCAUUUCGAGUUCACACAGAAUUUGACAAAAAUGACUCACCCCAACUCCUAAGGGGUGCGAUCUAAGCCACCUAUACCCUAAUACAAGGAUAUUCAUAAUACAAUUUUAUUGUGUCAUCAAAUCAAACAGUAUCACAUAAAAUAAAAUGAAGAAAGUUCUAAAAAUUUGUAAUAAUUAUUUUACCUUUGUGUGUGAUUGAGCAAGGAAGUGCAAUUAGGACGAACAAAAGCAAGAGCAGCAGCAUCUCCAAAGGUAACAUAAGAGGUGUCAAAUGGACGAGUCGAGAUGAAUUUUUGAAGUGUUUGUUGAGGAAGUAAACAUUUUUUUGAUGCAGGACUAUUUAAUUCUUCAGGUGGAUGAGCAAAUGCCUUGUGAAAUAUAGCCAACAUUGUAUCUUUUUUUUUCGUCUUCAAGAUGAAUAUCUAACAACAAUAUAAAAAAAAUGGUUACUAAUGAGAGUAUAUAUAAUAAACUUUUUACACUAAUGUUUUUAUUUUUAUUUUUAUUUUUAUAGUAUAGUAUAAUAAUAAUAAUAAUAAGGGAGCCUAAAGAUGAAAUAUGUCAAUUUUAUCUUGUAGUGAUAGAGUGUGACGUGACAAUGAUGAGGAUGGAUAAGGUUUCUCGUAUUUCUAUGAUGUCUUUAUCCAUUUAGAUUUUACUAUAAUAUUUAUACCAAAAAUUUUUAAUUUAAACUAUAUUAAACUGAAAAAAUAAUUAACUUAAUUUAACAAUAUCUCUCUUUUAUGAUAGUUUGAUUCAAAACUAUCAGUACCAUAAUAUUAAUAGGUUAUCCAAAAAUGCUCUAUUCUUAUUAUGGUGUGUGUCUAUAUAUAUAUAAUAUUAAUAACAAUAAUCAAUAAUUUAAAUAAUAUAUCAAAAACUUACCAUCAAUUUUUUAAUUUUAUUUGUGUCACAUAAAUUGAGACAAUGGAGUAAAGAGUAAAGACAUAUAUUUACAAAUUUUGUUUAAAAAACUAUAAAUUGCAAUAUAAAUUGAAAUCACAAAUUUUAAAAAAAUAUUUUUAAAUUUUGACGAUUAAUAUAUUGUAUAGAAAUUCACAUUUUUUUUUAUUAAUGUACAUAAGUCAUAUCCUUAUCCAUAUAGUUAUUUUUCUAUUUAUUCCUCCAAAUAUUUUCUUUCUGAUUAUAUUUUCUUUUGUUAAGCUUUAUGUCAGCCAGCCGAAUUGUUUGUUCUAUUAAAAGAAGAAAAAGAAAUUGAGCUUUUUACCACUUGAUAUGGGGCCAACAAGCUUUAACAAAUCUGUGGGUGAUUAUAACAAUUUAUUUGAUGGUAUUAGGGUCGUGCAAAAAUCAAUUUAAUUAAUAAAGUGAAUUGAAAAAUAAUAUUAAUUUAUCGAAAUUGAAUUGUUGAAUUUACAGAAAAGAAUUAAAAUUGCUCAUGAAUUAUAUAAAAUAGAUCACUUAUAUCUUUUAUUAUAUGUUGAAAUAAAAAAUAUUUUCGCCGUUAGUGAUGUGGCAAAACCAGGUGGACUAAUUCUCCAACCCAAGUAUUGUGAACUAGAAUUUACUUAUAAAAACUGGAUCUUUAGUGGCAAUAACUAUAAUCUCUCACUAUUUGCAAAAGCAUAUUACUCAUUUUUGUUCUAAUUUAUGCAAUAUUUUCAAAUUGUUUUUUUAAAGUUUAAUUGAAUCAAUUUUAUUUAAUAUUCAUAUUCUAUUUAACGUAAGACAUGUUAUAUAACAUUGCUUGGAUUCCUACUUUUGCUAAAAAAAUAAAAUUAAUUAGGGAUGAAAUAUCGAAUCUUCAUCAAUAAGGUGAGAGUUUAAGUAAUCAACCAACUGAGUUACUAAGGUUAGAAUUCAAUCGAUAUUAUUACAUUAUUUAACUCUUUUAAAACCUUUAUAUUUAGUUUGUUGGUUGCCAAAAUAUUUAUGCUACGGUUUCACUCUUUAUUGCCACGCGUCAUUUUUUAUUGGCUGUGUCAUCAUUGAUACAAUUGUUUGUUUAUUUAAAAUAUUGUACUAUUAUAUUUGUUGGUUGGAUCUAUUAUUAUUAUUUUUUGGCCUCAAUUGAUAUCUAUGUUCUUUAAUUUUAAAUGUACAUAAAUAGAUAUUUAUAUUUGUGUACUCGCAGACACAUACAUUUUACUUGACGUUUUAUAUGACAGUUCACAUCUUACGUAAUGCCCAAUAUAUAUAUAUAUAUAUAUAUAUAUAUUAUAUCAUGUAGAAUGCAUAUAUUUUAUUUAUUCAACUUUAUACUAGUUAAAAUGAUUAUUUGUGUACAUCCAAAGUAAUUGAAGGACAUAAAUGCCAGCUGAAACUAAAUUAAAUGACAUAUUUAUAUAAUAUAUCUUUUAAAUUUAACAUUACUCCCUCUCAUCUAAUGUUAAAUGGACACCUUCUAUAUUACACAGUGAUUAAAAAUCAUUAAUAAAUUAAUCCAUUUUGCUAUUUACCCUUUGUCCAUAUCAAUGUUUAUAAACAUAAGUUGGAAAAAAUAUACACAGAAUAUAGAAACAUAUUUGAAAAAAUAAUACUCUGUUCAUCUUUACUUGUUCAAUAUUUUCGCUACAGAACCCUUUCAAGAAUGACGCUCUACAAAAUUUCAUACCCUAUGCUCGAAUUUAAAAUCUCUGAUUAACGGGUGAAAUAGUCCUACAACUACACCACGUUGAUAUAUGAUAUAUAUAAUAAUGUAGUACUAGUCUGUUUAAGUUAAAACAUCCGUCAAUGGCGGCUAACGUCAAGAUUGACUAAUGUUGAAAAUGCUAACGUAGGAGCUUGCGUCAUUUAUAUUCUUUGGACCCAUUUGUUUAAUGAAUAAUGAUUGGCUGCACUAAUAUAUAUAUUGAGGAUUUUUGCAUCUAUUAAUUAAAUAAAAUUGGGAGAAACAGAGAAAUGAUGGAGACUGAAGAAAACAUUGUAACUGUUGGUGCUGGCAUAGCUGGUCUUGCUACUUCUUUGGCCCUUCACAGGUAAUAAUUGCUAUUCUAAAAUACUUGUUCAAUAAUUACAUCAUCUACUUCCAAAAGUUUGAUUUAGAAGGGCAUAUGCAUUUGAACGAGCAUUUAUGCCCUCCACUUUUAGAUGUGCAUAAGUAGUAAUACACUUAGGAUGCCAGGUAGAUGCAGAACUGUCACGUAGGAUGCCACAUGGGAUGGGUGUGUUUACUUAGCUUGUUCAACUUUUGAAUAAUUUAACAGUCUACUUGUACCGGCUCAAAGUUGGAUGACAUAGAUGUGGAGCAAAGUUAGAUGAUAUAUUUAUGUAUUAUGCCUCUCUAGAAUAUGAUAUUUAUGAUAUAAUAGCGCUAUUAGUUGAGUGACGAUUUGAGAAAUAACUCGAUGGAAGGCGUGUCUUGUAUGUAAUAUGUAGGUUGGGGCUGCGGAGUGUUGUGUUGGAAUCAGCAGAUUCGUUGCGAGCUACUGGAUUUGCAUUGGCAUUGUGGACUAAUGCCUGGAGAGCUUUGGAUGCAUUGGGCAUUGGGGGCUCUCUUAGACAACGUUCCUUAUCAAUUACUGGGUAAGCUUCCUCUUUAUUAUUAGUUAGGAUUUAGGAUUACUAAUUGAAGUUCAAUUUCGAAUUUUUAUGAGAUUUUGUGGUCAUAUGUGUUUUCCGGAGUUCUAGCUCUGGAAAAAAAAAGUUACUGAUUGUCCAAAAUGCAUUCGAGUUGAUGUGCAGGUUUAAAAGUUUCUCAGCGGAUUCAGGUGCACCUAUCAAGGAGGUAUCAUUUGUGGGGAAUAACAGGUUAGCAUUAUACCAAUUUUCAUAUUAGUUGGGGUCGGUUAUAUAAGUCCUUUCAUCUAUUCGUGUUUAUGUAUGUUCAUUUUGUUCCAACACUAGAUAAUCUAGCAUGUGAGACAAAUUAGGAAUUCUCUAAAAUUAGAGGUUUUUUGAGUAUCGCAAUCUAUAGAGAUGUAUAAAUUUCUAACCAUUGAUAUAAAGACUCCUCACAAACGUUGAAGUAAUGCAAACCUCCGAUUUUCACAACAUCGAUCUUCGUAGAGAACAAUCACAUUUGUUUACGAAGGACUUAAGUAUGAAUAGCAUAUUCAGAGGAUGCUACAUACCCAAUUUUUUGUAUUGUUCACAAGUACAGAGUGACGUGAUUUUAAUGUCCAAAUCCCUAUGAUUUCAACAAUGAAAUUAAGUUCAUUUUGAAUAACGUGGUUGAGUAUGUCUUCCUUCCGACUAUUGGAUGGACUGAUCAUUCGUCAGCCAACAUUUUUAUUUUUGAAGUCAAUAGUCAUCUAAAGUCAGUUAUAUUACGUUGCAGUGUGGAGUAUGAAAGUCGUUGUGUGAGGAGAAAAGAUCUGUUGGAGACAUUAGCUAAUGAACUGCCUCAAGGUGCGAUUAGAUAUUCUUCAAAGGUCGAUUCCAUUGAAGAAUCUGGACCAUUGAAAUUGGUACAUCUUGCAGAUGGUUCCACUAUUAGAACCAAGGUAAAUCUUUCUCUGAAAUCCGUAACUUGGAAUCCCUAUUAUUGGAAACUUCAACCAACGUGAUAAUUCAAACGUGUAUUUGACCAUUAUCUCAAUUCCUUUCGUUAGUCUAGUACGUGACUAACUUUGAUAAGCUUCAAUUAAGGCCUUAAUUGGGUGUGAUGGAGUCAAUUCUGUGGUGGCAAACUGGCUUGGNNNNNNNNNNNNNNNNNNNNNNNNNNNNNNNNNNNNNNNNNNNNNNNNNNNNNNNNNNNNNNNNNNNNNNNNNNNNNNNNNNNNNNNNNNNNNNNNNNNNNNNNNNNNNNNNNNNNNNNNNNNNNNNNNNNNNNNNNNNNNNNNNNNNNNNNNNNNNNNNNNNNNNNNNNNNNNNNNNNNNNNNNNNNNNNNNNNNNNNNNNNNNNNNNNNNNNNNNNNNNNNNNNNNNNNNNNNNNNNNNNNNNNNNNNNNNNNNNNNNNNNNNNNNNNNNNNNNNNNNNNNNNNNNNNNNNNNNNNNNNNNNNNNNNNNNNNNNNNNNNNNNNNNNNNNNNNNNNNNNNNNNNNNNNNNNNNNNNNNNNNNNNNNNNNNNNNNNNNNNNNNNNNNNNNNNNNNNNNNNNNNNNNNNNNNNNNNNNNNNNNNNNNNNNNNNNNNNNNNNNNNNNNNNNNNNNNNNNNNNNNNNNNNNNNNNNNNNNNNNNNNNNNNNNNNNNNNNNNNNNNNNNNNNNNNNNNNNNNNNNNNNNNNNNNNNNNNNNNNNNNNNNNNNNNNNNNNNNNNNNNNNNNNNNNNNNNNNNNNNNNNNNNNNNNNNNNNNNNNNNNNNNNNNNNNNNNNNNNNNNNNNNNNNNNNNNNNNNNNNNNNNNNNNNNNNNNNNNNNNNNNNNNNNNNNNNNNNNNNNNNNNNNNNNNNNNNNNNNNNNNNNNNNNNNNNNNNNNNNNNNNNNNNNNNNNUCAUCCCAUGACUCCUGAUCUUGGUCAAGGUGGAUGUUCUGCUUUAGAGGACAGUGUUGUUAUCGCAAAGUGCCUUGGAGAAGCCUUGAUAAAACCAAUAACAGAACAAGAAGACGAUGAAUCUAUGAAUAUUAGGAAAGGACUCGAGAAGUAUGCUAAAGAGAGAAGAUGGAGAAGUUUUACAUUUAUCAGUGCUGCUUAUUUAUCUGGUUUCAUACAAGAGAGUGAUAACAAGAUAAUCAGUUUCUUAAGACAACAUUUNNNNNNNNNNNNNNNNNNNNNNNNNUUUUGGCUGGAGUCACUAUAUCAGUUACACUAAGAAUAGCUAACUUCGACUGCGGAAGAUUAACUGUUUCUUAGUAGCUCAAUUGGAUCCUUUAGAAGCUAUGAAUAUCCUUUAUGGACUUUGUUUAAUAUCUAUCUAGCAUACAUGUUCUGGUUUAGUUAUGUCUAAGAAUUGUAAGACCGAAUCGGAUCCUUAUUUUGCAAUAAUAAAAUUGUGUCCUUCAUCAAAGAUAUCCAAUAACAUCAGUUGUUUAGAAGCAAAUAUGGUAAAAGCUGCAUUUUAUUAUUAUCAUGGAAAAACAGUGUAAAAGGUAAAUCUCUGAAGUAUAGAAUAAGUGUUUUCUUAUCUGAGAUCAUUUCGUGCAAUUAGAUACUACUCCC